Molecule: long non-coding RNA, 48873 nt
Filed under: Sorghum bicolor (sorghum)
Lineage: Eukaryota; Viridiplantae; Streptophyta; Magnoliopsida; Poales; Poaceae
Description: long non-coding RNA (SBIC_LNC004972)
Rfam family: Plant small nucleolar RNA R71 (bases 34889-34995)
Source: RNAcentral
GCUACUAUCUAGAUCUACUCUAGUUUAGAGAAGAGAGGAGAGCUCUCAUCUCUAAACCCUAGCUUUUGCUCUGUCUAUGAAUAAUGAAUAAUGAUCAAGGGGUGCCUCCUCUAGGGGCCAGGGGGUCUGGUUAUAUAGACUUUUCAGAUGAAUCUGGGCCAUUGGAUCCAACCGACAUUGAUCGUGUGGUUUUCCUUGAAGUAUUAGGUCGGUGGAGCAUGAUCCGCGAAGUUGAAGCUGAUUGGUUACUGUAGCUGGGCGGGCACCCAAGGGACUUGGGCGGGCGCCCUGCCCCCGGGCCCGAUCGGCCUCCCAUUCAUUCCCGUGGCUUCUGGAGUCUUCUAGAUGGUAGAAAAUUGCGCGGCAUGUUAAUAUCUCUAUGUAAUCCCGACGUGUGGGCCUUUCUUCCGUAUUUCCUGAUAACCCCCUGCAGAAAUAGACAAACACCAAAACUCAUGGAAUUCUGUGAGAUAAAACCCUAAGUCUAGAUGUUAAUUUCAUUUGGACCCUUUUCUUUGUUUAUUUGAUAAUUAAAUUUGAUACUUAAGGACCGUCAACAAACUCCCCCAAGCUUACCUCUUGCUUGUCCCUGAGCAAGGAUAGACUCAGCAAUGGAUCAGAAGUUGUUGCAAUAUCUUAAAAAUUUGACGGUACACAUGCUUUUAAAUAAGAUCUCAUCUCUGAGUUAGAGUAAACUGUCAAGAACUAAAACUUACUUACUUUACCUUUCACCAUGGGACUUAUAACCGUCACUUCUGUCUUGAGUAGUUAAAAGAUAGAACAGUCUAGCCAAGUGCCAUGUCUCUUAUUCUUGAUCAGCUAUAGCUCUGGAGUUUUUGCAGAUUUUCAAAUAAAACUCAGAGAUUCCUUGUAUGACUCUCUAAAUCUCUCUUUUGUGGUAUUUCUGGAUCCUUACCAAGGCAGUGAUGGUAUAUGCCUUCUCUCAAGAUAUGUGGUAUUUGUGGUGUAAGGCAUAGUGACAUUGCCUUCUCUCUCACCCUACUCUAAUAAGGCUUUAAUAUCUGGAGCUCAUAGGUGGGAGAUAAAGUAUACAUACUUACAAGACAUUUAUUGUAUAGUCAAACCAUAGAUCUAGAGAAACAAGUCAAUAAGUCAAAUCAAGAUGUGCAUGUGUGGCGAAUGAAUGGUGUAUGGUGAUGAUGGUGAUAACAAUGGUGGAAGUCUAAUUCUACUUUUGCUCUUUUGAGGGGAUACAUACCUUCCUUGCUUUUUGAAACUUUAUGAGGAGAAUGAGAUGCUCUAUCUUUCAUUUUUCUUUCCUCUCAGGUGGGUAUCCUAUACCCCUAAUUCUACUACCGCACACUUGUCCAUUUUUACCUCUCGUCUCACUCUUUUUCUUUUCAUUCGAGGUUCCGGGCACUUGACCCUUUUUAUUUCCUCGUUUAUUAUUUUUUUUCUCUCUUUUUUUUCAGAGCACUCAUCUCUUGAGAUAAUAUAGCAAGUGGUAGUAGCAAGAUAACUUGAGCAUUUAUUUCACAAGGGAAAACAGAAAUAUUUUUGGCUAUUUUUGGGUGGUUCUGGAGAUGGACAUGGAUGGAUAUAUGUGGAUGGUACUUCCGGAGUAGAAGUAGCAUAUAUGAGUGAACGUGCAAGUGAAUCUUGAUUUAACCACAUGACAAGCUCCUAAGGGUCUACAUAGCUUGACCACACUCAAUGCUCAUAAGCAGUAAAUAAUAAAUGUGUGGCUCAAAGUCUAGCAAGCAUGUAUAUAUGGCUGUGGUAGGAAUUUAAACUCUCAUCAUACAGAAACUCAUCAUGCAAUAUUUUAAUGAUUUUUCAAAGAUAAAAUUCUCUAGAAUUCUAGCAUCUCUAGGAACAGAUAAACAGCAGCUCAACCUUCCCAUAUCAUAUCCGUUAACAACUUAGAUUUCAGAUCAAGUUUUCAUCCCACAAGUUUAGAUCUAGAGCAAGCUUUAAAUUAUAACAGUUAUGUCUAAACUUGAGAGAGAACUUCAAAUGUGCAAAUUAGGCAGAGCAACUAUUCAUCAUAUCCAUGCUAGAGUUUUAUUAUUAAGAUUCAGAUUAGCAUAGCCACUUUAUUUAUUUAUUAAACACAUUAAGCAAAAGAUAUAUAUAAGCACAAAAUCUUUAUUUGGUUUUUCAUAGUUUAUGUAUUUUAAUAUUCUAAUAUAAUAUAAGUAUAAAGAUAGGUAGAAAUACUUAGCGAGAUAAAUGGGGGUGCUCUCCCCCAAGCUGAAUUUUGACGUAAUUUCUCUUGAUGUAGCUAGCAGGUGGCAGAGGUGUAUUUGAAAGUCAGCAGCAUUCUGACAACGAUUAGAAUGUCCUCUGUCUGCUAGUCUUCUUGAUUCUUAAAUUCUGUGGAGCUCAAAUAGACAACAAAGCUUGUGGAACUAAUUAAGUGUUAGCAUAAAUAUCUAGCCUUCAUCACGUUGAGCUUCCUCAAUAAAUAUUACUCCCAGUUUUUAUAUUUUUAUUUUAUAAAGCAGAAAAGAAAUAUUUAUUUUAUUUUUAUGGCACCACAAUGAAGGUACUUAUGGGUUUUAUGCCACUCGUAUACUCACAUGGGGCUUAGUAUUUUUCAACAUUUUUAUUUUCUUUUCAAGAUAGCAUGAUUAACUAAUAAUCUAUUUAAGCAAAGUAAAUAAUUAAAGGGAAAAGGGAAUGCAGAAAGGAUAAAUAUGGAUAACUACCGAUUUUACCUUUCGGUGAGGGUUCAAUGUUUUAAAUCUUCUGAACAAGACUUCUCAUAGUGUUCAUUCUUUAGGUGCGUCACUUGAUUCAGGUGCGGACCUUGACGUCUGCACCUCUUCGUUUGCCCAGCAGUUCGAAGUGCGGUGUUGGUAGUGUCCUGCUCAGUGUGUUUGUGCUCAUAGAUCCAGGUCCUUCACUUGGUAGAGUCUAAGAGUUAUAAAACUCCUCCGUGUUUUGCUCGAAGUGUACCUGCUCAUAGAGACAAGGCAGAGAUCAAGUGCAUGGGUCCUGUUGGUGGAAAACACCAACAGAACCUAAAGUGUAUUUGUUCUUCUCUAACCCUAAGCAUAGUGAGCAAGACAAAGUUGAUGGAUGAAAAGUUCAUGAGUGUAGCACUUAUAACAUUUGUCAGAUCAGAUCUCUCAACCAUAUGGAAAGAUAAUCUAUCUAUGUAUAUGUCUUUUUCUUUAUAUAUCUCAAUGAUUGAAUGUGUAACAUUUUAGCUCACAUGAUUAGGAGUGUGGGAUGAUGGAGGUAGUACUAAGAACAAGGAUUAAAGGAGUAAACAUGUUGAAUCAGUUGGGUUGGUUAAUCUAGAGUUGUAAAUCAUACAUAUUUGUCUCUUUUAUUUAUAUGAACGCUAGAACCAAGGAGAAGCUUAUAAAAGUGAUAGUCAAGUACCUUAAGAUGUUACCUUAAUUGAAGAGUGAUGGUAUAGUAUCACCUUGUGGAAGCUUUCCUUUCUUAGCGGUUGUGCAUCGUGUUUGUGGCACCCUCCAUGGAUCAUCUCUUAUGAGCUACGUCUUUCUUGUGCAAAUUGUUAAACUUCAUGUGUCACUCUCUUCGUCUCUGAUGUGAGUUUAUCUCAGGACUUCCCAAAUCGAUAUUGAAAGUUUUUCUACAGGGGUUAGUCCGACAAAAAUAUACCAAUGUCUACACAAGCAGUUUUUAGUUCAAUAACCGAACUAGACUCCAUGUCCAAUCAGAUUAAGGAAGACUGUUUAACCUAAGCACCAUGCUUAAUUUGAAAGCCAAUAGAAGUAUGUGCAGUACUUCCAAACUAACACUUACUAGUAAAUAGACAAAGGUAACAUGACAGCAUUUAUAGAGAUCUACUCAAGUGGAGAUGAAGUAGUGUGAUUAGUAUUUAACAAAUUGAGCAUGUCUCAAAGGUAGGGACAACCAACAUAGCAACAUGGCAAAGGAUGUUAAGUACUCCCCCAAGCUUGAAUUUUGCAAAAUUCAAGUUUGGAUGAAUUUAAUUCAAUGUUGUAUGAUGAUUGGUUGGACAUACCUUGUGCUUGUCAUUCAUCCGAUCUUCUUGCUCCAAUCCUAGAAAGGUUAGUGACAAGAAUACCCGAAGGAAUAUUUUUACAAUUAUCCUUAUUUGCUCAAUACACAAGGUAAUGUUGCAAAUAAUUAAAAACUCAUGUUACGAUCUGAUCAGUGCUUAUUUGAGGACACUAAGCUUGUCCUUGGGAAACCAUCAAUUUAUGUCGGCAAAGUGGUUUCCCUUCCAACGCUGACCUAAAUCAAGAUCAACUCAACGAGAUCUGCAAUAUUUAUUAUAGACAUAUGCAUCGACAACCACCCUUUUAAAGUUUUUAUAAAUAGAGAGGAAGAGGGGGUUGGAGAUCUCAAAUGUGGUGAUGUUGGAGAGACCAAUAGAUUGGGAAGAUAUUGCAUAUGAGCAUGGAGUAAACAAAGUGGCUAUGAAAUAAAUUCCAUGCUCAUUAAUGUUAUCUUCGUCUCCAAUCUGAAUGUUUGGAGUUUCUCCUAGAUUGGUCUCACCUAUGUCCUCUUCUGUAGUUGGAUGAACCUCAUCUUCAAAGGGAGUCAAGAACUCACCAUUUGAAAUUGAGCCAAAGUUAGAGUCCAUUAAGGCUUCUUCCUUAUCCAUCCAUUCUACACAUUCUAGCCAUUUAGAACUUGUGAUCAGGAAAGGGGAGGUGUUAGAAUUUUCUAUAUGGCUUGGCUCUCCUUCACUUGAUAUGUCAUCCUCGACUUCUUCAUAACAGGAACCAGGACAUUCUCUAAGAGAACCAUUAUUGCAAGGAUUUGAAUUAUCCCUGCUUGAAGGUCUCUUAUGGAGCCAGAAGUCUAAACCAUCAGUAUCUGAAAGAUUUAAGGUCGGAAUUCCUUCCUCCCUUGGAGAAUUUUGGCGUAUUGAUGGUUUAGGAUCGAUAGCUAAAGUUUGGAAUUGAAGUGGUUGUGAUCUGGCUAUCGAAACUUCUUCUUCUUGUCUAGGAACUGGUUCUGUCUCUUUCUCAGGGAUAUAAAAGCUAGGAGACUUUCCACUUAAUAAAUCAAUCAAAUUCCAAGCUUCACUAGCAGGUAGGUGAUAGAAGGAUCCUCUAGAGGCUGUAUUCAAGGUUUGCUUAUUUUCCCCACUAAGGCCCUCAAAAAAGUGAAUUAGAAGAACUUCUUCUAGAAUAGAAAGCUUUGGGCCAGUGAGAGUAAGGUUAAUAAAGCGGUCCCAUGAUUUCCUAAGAGAUUCUUCUUCCAGUUGUCUAAAAGAAAUAAUCUCACGCCGAAGUUCCGCCACUUUGGAGAUUGGAAAAUAUUUAGAAAGAAAACUACUAUAUAACUCCUUCCAAUCUCCAUGAACACUCCCUACUUUGAGUUUGUACCAAUGUCUAGCUUUUCCCGUUAAAGAGAACGGAAAGAGCUUCCAUUUAAGGGUCUCAUCGGACAUUCCUUCUAUACGAAGGAGGUCACAGACUCGAUAAAACUCUCUUAGGUGUGUGUAUGGGUUUUCCUCACCUUCUCCUGAGAAAGGUUGUUUUUGAACAAAUUCUAUGUAUUCGGGGUCUAUCUCAAAACUAGAUGCUAUGAUAGGCUUUGAAGAUUUUGGUGGUUCGAGAUAUGUGCCCGUAGGUCUAUGAAAUUCAUAGAUAGACAUGUUUGAAUUCAUGAUAGACCAGAGAUCAAGGAUUAGAUAAGAAGAAAGAUUAGCAGAGAUGAGGCAAAGGAUAAAAGGAAAAUAUUUUUAUUAUUUUUUUUUAUUUUUUAGAAAAUGAUUAAGCUAGUUCGUAGUCAACUCAGCAACCGUCUCCCCGGCAACGGCGCCAAAAAUGCUUGUUGACACUUGCUAACACCACUUGAAUACUAGGUUGUCAUCCCCAGCAUGGCACUAGAGUGUACUAUGGUAUUUAUACGCACACAGAUAAUCCGCAAGCGCACGGAUACCGUUGAAGCUUUUACCCGGUUAAAGGUUUUAUCGUAUCCACAAGGAAACGAGAGAACUGAUCUACGCUCUAACUUAACCAAGAUAAGUAAAUAAGUGUAAAUAGGAAAGAUGGUAGAAUCGAAUAAGAACAAUAUUAAAGGUAAGAUAACAGUGAGUGAUAAUAUGGGAAUAGAGAGUAGAGCAAUCUAGUAUAUGGGCGAUGGUAGCAGAAUAGAGAGGAUAACUAUGGUUUCUCUACUUCAAAGGGGUAUGUCUAUUUCUGGGACGAACCACGUGAUAAGAGUACACCACAAAGGAUGCUUAUCCUUAGGCCGAUAAACCCUACCCGUCCUGCUAACGAGAGGUGGACUACAGAGGACCAACGUAACUGUCACCUACGCGGCCUACCACACGAUCCAGCUAGACAGGGGAUAUCCAUAUGUAAUCUAGGUCUAAGCACCACGCUUACACCUAUACUACAACUCCAACCUAUAGCGUCCUAUAGAUUAGAAGUACUCAAAAGAGUUGUGAACCAGAACAUACAUGAUUAGUAAUUGCAUAAUGAAUUAGAAGUAGAUUACCAGAGUCAUCCCAUGAGCAAGCUUGAUUAGAGCUUGAUCAUGACGAAGUACAACCGGAGGAAGAACCGACAGGCCGGCCUCUCCUCUAAUCCUCCUUCGCUCUCCAUCUUGCUACUAUCUAGAUCUACUCUAGUUUAGAAAAGAGAGGAGAGCUCUCAUCUCUAAACCCUAGCUUUUGCUCUGUCUAUGAAUAAUGAAUAAUGAUCAAGGGGUGCCUCCUCUAGGGGCCAGGGGGUCUGGUUAUAUAGACUUUUCAGAUGAAUCUGGGCCAUUGGAUCCAACCGACAUUGAUCGUGUGGUUUUCCUUGAAGUAUUAGGUCGGUGGAGCAUGAUCCGCGAAGUUGAAGCUGAUUGGUUACUGUAGCUGGGCGGGCACCCAAGGGACUUGGGCGGGCGCCCUGCCCCCGGGCCCGAUCGGCCUCCCAUUCAUUCCCGUGGCUUCUGGAGUCUUCUAGAUGGUAGAAAAUUGCGCGGCACGUUAAUAUCUCUAUGUAAUCCCGACGUGUGGGCCUUUCUACCGUAUUUCCUGAUAGCCCCCUGCAGAAAUAGACAAACACCAAAACUCGUGGAAUUCUGUCAGAUAAAACCCUAAGUCUAGAUGUUGAUUUCAUUUGGAUCCUUUUCUUUGUUUAUUUGAUAAUUAAAUUUGAUACUUAAGGACCGUCAACAGAUGGCUUGGGCAGCAAGUCUUUCCGCAAACGCCCCAACUGAAUCGUCAAGCUACGGGGUUCCAGCAAGGACAGAUCUAUCUCGGGUUCCAGAAUCAGGGGAUCCCUAACCAGCCAAUGAAUCUUGGGCAGCAGAUUGGCGGACAGCAGAUUGGUGGCCAAUAGCUUCGUGGUCCGCAGAUUGGGGGCCAAAUGGUUAACCCGAUGUUUCAUGCAGAUCGUGCACCACACAGACACGUGGAAGCUUACCAGCAGGUGCCGGAUCCGCAACCACCUCAUCGGCAAGAUGCCGAUGCUUAUUGGGCCGAUAAGAUUGCUGAAGUAAUGAGAGACCAAUUCGGGAUAAAACCCAAAGUCAAUACUUACUCUUAUCGGACACCGUAUCCUCCCGCAUAUGAUUUGAUUCUGCUUCCACAUCAGUACAAGGUACCGGAUUUUACUAAGUUUUCUAGACAGGAUGACACGUCAACUAUGGAGCACGUCAACAGGUUCAUCAUUCAAUGCGGUGAGGCUGGUAACAGGGACGAGUUAAGGGUUCGUUUGUUCUCAUCGUCAUUGUCUGGAUCGGCUUUUACCUGGUUUAUAUCACUACCUCCGAACUCAGUGAUUACUUGGGAAGAUCUGGAGAAGCAAUUCCACAAAUACUUCUUUUCUGGGGUCCAUGAGAAGAAGAUCACCGAUUUGGUCAAGUUAAGGCAACGCAAUGAUGAAUCGGUCGAGAGUUUUGUGCAGAGGAUACGGGAGGUCAAGAACAAGUGCUAUAGUCUGGUUCUGGAUGAUCAGCAGCUAGCUGAUUUGGCUUUCCAGGGUUUGUUGCCACACAUCAGGGACAAGUACGCCUCUCAGGAGUUUGAAAGCUUAAGUCAUUUGGUGCAGAGAAUUUCUGAUCAAGACGUCAAGCCUUUUGAGCCCAAGAGGGCAUGGAACAAAAAGGUAUCUUUCAUUGAUGAAGCAACAAGCUUAGAUUCUGAUGAGGAACCAGUCAUCGGCUUGGCAGAGUGGGUAAAAAAUAAGAAGCCGAUGUCUUGUCCUUUUGGACAUAAAGAACCGGAGAAGUUCGCGUUUGACACCGCUAAGGCCGAUAGGAUAUUUGACUUUCUGCUUCAGGAAGGUCAGAUCAAGCUAUCUCCCAAUCAUGUGAUCCCAUCGGCUGAGGAGUUAAAGAGGAUGAAAUAUUGCAAGUGGCACAAUGCAACUUCUCACGACACCAAUGAGUGCAAGGUUUUCAGGCAGCAGCUGCAAUUGGCUAUAGAGUCCGGGAGAAUCAAAUUUGAUAGUUCCAAAACCCAGAAGCCGAUGAAGAUCGAUCAACAUCCUUUCCCAACGAACAUGUUGGACGCUAAGGGAAAGGCCAAGAUCUUAACAUCGGAAGCAGCCGAAAGAAGUGCAUCGGUGGAUCCUCAGCAUCAGGUCACUACUGCCGAUGCAAGAGGAAGAGGCUUAGUCCAGGAAGGAACCAGCUCAGGGAGGCCUCGGGAGAAUUGGCAGCAACGUGAAGAUCGGUAUCGGCGCCAGCAGGAGGAUUAUCGUCAGGAAGAGGAAAGACGCCGGCAAGAAUGGAAUCGGCACAGGGAUCACUGGAAUUGACCGUUCUUCAUUCAUUGUUUGGAGGAGAAUAUUAAGCUUCCCACUGUCAGGGAUUGCCCUGAGUGCAAUGGUUAUGAUCGGUAUGAUAGAACCGAUCGGCGCUAUCACGAUAACAAUCGGCGAUCUAAUGGGCCGAUUAGGGGAAGAGCGUCCGUUCACGAUCGGCUGGGGGGCAGGCUCAGCGUGCACGACAGGCUUGGUGAUCGUGUUCAAUAUUUUCCCAGGAACCAGGAAGAACUUGAAGAAAUGGCUAAUGCGCGAGUUCCCGAUGAGUUCAUAUUUUGUAGGGAUGCCAAUACACAUCGGGUGGAAUCAAGGGAAAGUCAUCGCCCAGCAGCAAGGCAGAAGCCACUUCCUCCAUGGUGUCCAGAGGGGUUAACCAGGACACAGAAAAGGAGGUUGCAGCGCGAAAGGCUAGAAGGGCUAAGUAAGGGCGAGAACUCUGGUCAGUCUGGGGAUCAGCAGCAAUCAGAUCCCAAGGGGGAAGGUCCAUCGGCAGAUGUCAACAUGGUCUUUAUGUUCCCGAUGGAGUUUCUUGCGCCAUCCAGUGAUGAUGAUUGUAAUUUUCCGACCAAAUAGCUCAAUUGGCUUUGGACCCGACGACAGCUAUCUUCGAGAAGCCUGCCGAUGAUGAAAGGCAACAUCUCAAAGCCUUGUUUGUCAAAGGAAGGGUUGAUGGGCAGCCGAUGACUAAGAUUCUAGUUGAUGGCGGGGCUGCUAUCAACAUCAUGCCAUAUGCAGUGUAUCGGAAGCUUGGGAAAGGGGAUCAGGAUUUAACCAAGACCGAUAUGAUGCUUAAAGAUUUUGAAGGAAAUGUGUCUCCGGUCAAGGGGGCAAUAUGUGUAGAGUUGACCAUCGGCAGCAAAACUUUGCCGACAACCUUCUUCGUGAUCAGUGGAAAGGGUGCUUACAACUUACUGUUGGGAAGAGAUUGGAUUCAUGCUAACUGUUGCAUCCCGUCUACAAUGCACCAAUGCUUGGUUCAAUGGGUGGGUGACAAGAUUGAAAUUGUCCCAGGAGAUUCUUCUUACGUCAUCGCAUCGGCAGAGGCAGACACCUAUGAAAGGACUAGGUGUAUUUCAGGAGAAGUUUAGGAAAAGGAUUUUCUCAAGGUUGCCGAUUACGAAAUUCCACCGAUCCAAGCAGUCGGUUCUGAUGAAGGUUUUUAAUGGAUAGGUUCGCCGAUGAUGGAAAAUUAGGCCAGGGAUUCACAUCGGCCGAUGAUCUAGUAGAGGUAGAUAUAGGUAGUGGUGAUAAGCCUAGACCUACUUUUAUUAGUGCUAAGCUAGAUUCUGAGUGUAAGCAACAGUUAACUGUUUGUUAAAGGAAUAUAAAGAUUGCUUUGCUUGGGAUUAUACUGAGAUGCCUGGAUUGGACCGAUCAAUUGUUGCAUCAAUCACAUGCAUAACAUGGGCAUCAUUAUCUACUCAAGCAUAUCAUGAUCAUCAUCUACCUUGAGUCAUGUCAUAUUAUGCUAAAGUGUGACUUAACUUGAUUAAAUAUGCCUCCUAUGAUUGUGUUUGCUUGUGCCAUGCUCAUGCUUGUGUGCUAUGCCUUAGUAAAUACUUUCUCUAUGCUUAACUCAACCUUAGGAACAAUGUUCAUGUUGAUCACUUUUUCAAAUUAAGUGCUUAAGUUAUACUUCCACGUAUAGGCCCUAGAAACCUCUUUUGCUUAAGCUUUUAAAAUGUGUUUCAUAAAUUAUUUGCAUGUCAAAACUUUCUACAGAAAUGUUGUAGCAAAUUGUAUAAGGAAUAAAAGUUGUUUUAUGGCCAUCUCAUGAAAAUCAUCACAUCAUGCUCAAAAAUGGCCCACAAGGCAGAUUUGGGGCUGUUUCCAACACUUAGAAAAUUUUCUACGUAUGGGAUUGCAACAGUUUGAUCGUGGGUGUUUUGUUUAGCUUCCAGUUUGAAUUCUAGGCCAAAUCAAACCUUGAUCUUGUAAGCAAUGUUGGAGUCCUCAUGUAGCUCUACAACAUGGAGCAAUUAGCCAGCAAAAUCAUCGAAUGGAUUAGGAGUUAAUCGCAGUGCAAAAUCGAGUUUCAGUCGGGAUCAGAGACUGAAUAGAGUCGCCGUCAGCAGAGGGGAGCUCACCGGUGACGCCGCGUGUCUGGACUCGUGGCGUCCGUAUGUCGCCGUUGGUCCCGCUCGUCAGUCCUCAACAUGUCCUACAGCUCGCCACGGCGCCCCCGGUCGCGUGGUCAGCGCCAUCUCCACUCUGGUUCGCCCUCUCUCGCGUCUGUCGUCUUCUCCGCGUCGCCGCCGCUGCUUCGGCGAGCUCGCGCGCUCGCGUCUCAGCGUCUUCGGCCAAGCGACUCCGUCCAGUGCUCCGCUAGCUUCCCCGCAACACCGUUGUCGAGUUGGUUGCGGCUACCGAGCCUUGGUAAGCCCUCAUUGUCCUCUCCGUCGUGAGCUUACCUUGCCGGAGCUCCGCCAUGGUCACCGGCGUCGUGGGCAGGGCUCUGUAGUCCCCCAUUUCUCCUCGUUCUUGUCCCAAAAGCUCCGCUGAGUCAUGCUGAUGCUCGUCCGAGUGCUCUUUCGCCCGGUCUCCGACCAGAGACGCCGGCGGUCGGCCGCACACCACCGCCGUGCCGCCAUUCGCGAGGGCGAGGUACCUAGGGUUCGGUAGAGUUAGGGUUUCUGGUACCAAUCGGUGCGGAAUGGAGUGAGGAGCACGAUGGUGCUCUUGGCCAUCGCCGAGACCUCGCCGUCGACGAGAUCUCCGGCGGUCAAGUCGCGCCUCUGCUCUCGGGUCACUGGCGUGUGGGGUCCGUUGACUUGCGGGGUCCCCCUGUCAGUCUCUCUUUCUCCUUUGUUUGAUUUAGGGUUUGUGUUGUUUUUGCAAAAAAUCAUAUCUCUAGUUCCUGUGAGCCAAAAAUUGUGAAAUAAAUUUUGUAGUUAUCCUUGAGAUGGCUAGUUUUUAAUGAAAAUACAACAUGCACCUUGUUUUCUGGGAAAAAUAAUUGUUAUGAUUUAAUCUUGUUAUUUAUGUGUUAAUUCAUAUCUUUUGUUAUACUGCUUCUUUUGCUGUGAAAUUUUUAUGUUAUGCUCUGAGUGGUUUGAGUAUGCUAUGAUAAAUAUUUCAUGAUUUUUGAAGUAUUGUAUCUGUGAAAUGUAAUUUAUGUUUGUAAAAUGGCUUGUUUUCUUAUUUAAAUCAUAAUAAAAGUUUGGUGCUUAUGCUGGUACUCUACUCUGGUGUCAAGCUUGUUUAUUGUAAUACUAACAUGUAAAUAAUCUGAAAUCUGUUGUUUGACACUAACUAAGCUAUGUUUCUUAAUUUAUGAAAUAAGCACCUUGUCAUAUGUUAAAUGCUUAUCUCUAAUUUGGCAUGUGCAAUUGUUCUGAAAAUUUUAUGCUAAUGUCAAGAUCUAUGCUUGUGCUUGUGUAAUUUUUGUAGAUUUUUCUAAGCACUGUUGCUGGUAUCUUGUAAUUAUGUCCUUUUAUGGAAUUAAAUUAAUAAAUGCCAUGUAAUUAACUGUUUAGUGGUCAACAUGUGAUGUUCUGUUAAUCUUAAGUUAUGCUUGUGCUGGUAAGCCCUUUGGUUGGCACUGAAUAUGUUUUGGGCUUGUCAUCAAAUAAUUAAUUAAAGGUUUAUAGCUGUCCUGGACAGCAAGGGAGUAAUUUGACUUUUGUGUGACAAUAUCUGGGUUUUCUGAGAGACUUGUUUAAAUCAAAGUUGUUGUAAAUUUUAUGAACCAGCUGUAGCUUAAAUUUGGGAUCAUUUGGUCCAAUAGUUUUGAAGUUAUGGCUUUUCCAAGUUAGGUUCCAGAAAUUGGUGCUUUCUGUUUUUCUGGGACAGAACCUGGAACUUUAAUUGACCUGUUUAAUUUGUGAACCUUGGUGUGAUGUUUAAAUAUGAAAUGUAGACAAUUUCAUAAGCUUUCAUGAAUGUCCUCAUUCAUGUUUAUUGGAUCUGCAUAGCAAUAGUUAUGACUUGUUUACUGAGCUGCACUGUUAUUUUGGUUGUUGCUAUUUAUAGUUUAACUUGGUAAUUGUUGACACUAGCUAACACCACUUAGAUACUAGGUUGUCAUCCCCAGCAUGGUGCCAGAAUGUACAAAGGUAUUUAUAAAUGUAAAGGCUCUCUAGAAAAUAAUAUAUUCUAUCCGCAAGCGCACAGAUAAAACACCUCAUUGUAGCAUUUCACCAGGAUAAGUAUUCCAGGUAUCGUUAUUUAUAAUUUUGCUCAAAAGAACAAAAGGGAUGAAAUUAAAUUAAGGACAAAAUCUAUCAAGGCAUAGACUAGAGAUAAACUUGCAAGAACAUGAUUACUAAUGAGAAACUCGUCACACAGUGUUGACACCGUUUUUGGGCACGUGUCCAUGAUCGGUAAAGUGUGGAUCGGCAGGAUGAGAUGGUGUUGCUUGAUCUGCAGGGUGAGUUGCCGAUGGAGGAUGGUUGCCGAUGGAGGGGCUGUUGAGCGUGACUAAGUCCGUAGGUGAUGAUGUGUCUGUGCCGAUGGCUACGACAAGGAGGUCUGCCGAUGCUACGAAGGGAGAGUCUGGAAGCUGCCGAUUGGCUGGUGGGGAUGUUCUGGUUUGUCCCGUGAGGACAGUUUUACCUUUUCCUUAGUUAUUUAGAUCGUUUUGUACACGGAUUCUGUUUAAGUUUGGAAUUCGAAUUUUAGUCGUGUCUGGUUGUAGCUCUUUGAGCAGGGUAUAAAUGUAGACCCUAGGGCUUUGUAACGAGGACAUCUAUCAAUUAAUAAAACACAAGUUUUUACUCAUAUUCCAGCAUCUACUUUUUCGACGACUUCGUCCUACUUUUUCCUUUUCGUUACGAGUUCUUAGGAAUUCGUCGACUUAAGCUCGGCGUGUUCUCAAGUUCCGCGUGAAUACCUCUUGGCCGUGACAUCCGGGCGCAUCGCUGUUGUCGGGACCAAAGUGUUCAAGUUACCACCCUUGCCGAUAGUGAGGUCAAAUCGGCUGGCACGCCUUAACGUUUGAAUCGGGUAUUAGCCCUUUGUGUUUGCAGAUCAGCUUUUGCACCAACACACAGUCACUUACUUUAGCAGGGGGUAAACCAUAAAGAUAAUAAUAAUGAAUUAUAAGUUCAAGGGAUAAAUAACACAGCGAUUAGAAAAUAGACUACUCCUCAUAUAUGUAGGUGAUGUCGGAUUAGCUAGAGAAUGGAUUCUAAGUUAUCUACUAACUACUCAGUCAUAAUCAAAUCUAGUUAUCUACAAGAUCAUAUAUAGCAUAAAAGACUCUUCAUUCAUGUAUAAGGUACAUUGAUAAAGUAAAUCAGAGCAUCGCACGACUUACUCCACAAUACCGGUUCUGCCUGUCCUAUCAAUGGAGGGUGGACUAUAUAAGGAUCAACGAAGCUGUCACUAUCGCGAACUACCACACGACCCGGCCAAUAGGAUACAUUUGCAGAUAAAUAACAUCUAAGCACCAUGCUCACAUGUGAUCUAUCACCUAACUCCCUCGCGUCAAGAGCUAAGCGCUUUGCAAACUCAUACAUAAACUCAUUAUCAAUUAGAACUAUAUCAAAUAUAGAACUAGAUCAAACUAAUAACAUAAUAAUUAGAGACAUAAUGCAAUUAGAACAAAGAAUUAGAGAAAGAUAUGAAUAAUACCAAUCUUUAUUACCGAAGAACCGAAUCCAGAGCGUAGUGCUCUACUCCUCUAAUUGCUAUCUAAUCAAACCUCUAAACUUGAAGGAUUAGGGAGUAGCUAAUUCUAAUUCUCUGUGGGAGAGAAGCUCUAAACCCUAACUUUGAUGGCUACCUCUGAAUAAUGAUUUCUUCUCUUCUCCUCUCUCCUCCAGGGGGAGAGGCCUUGGUUUUAUAGUCCCUUCAAGUGAAUUUGAGCCGUCGGAUCAAACCGACAUUGAUUGUGUGGUUUAGAUUGAUCCUUUAGGUCGGUGGAGUUUAGCCCCGAAGCAGAGUCCUGAUUGGACUCCUGGCCUGGGCGGGCGCCCAAGGGGGGUGGGCGGGCGCCCUGCCCCCGAGCCCGAUCCUCUUCUCGUUCGUUCCCGUGGCUUCUGGACUCUUCUAGAUUGAAGAAAAUUGCGCGGCACCUAAUUAUCUCGUUGUAAACAUGACAUGUGGGCCUUCUCUCCAUAUUAUCCGAUAACCCCCUGCAGAAAUAGAUAAACACCAAAGCUCGUGGAAUUCUGUCAGAUAAAACCCUAAUUCUAGAUGUUUGAUUCAAAUUGAUCCUUUUCCAUGUUUAUUUGAUUGUUAAUUUUAGUACUUAAGGACCGUCAACAAACUCCCCCAAGCUUACCCUUUGCUCGUCCCUGAGCAAAUAGCUAAACUCAGACGAUUCAGGAGUUGCUUCAAUGUUUUCUAUCCUGACAGGCACACAUGCAUUUAUAUAAAAAUUCUUCCAGAUUAGAGUGAAGUGUUAUGGAGUUUAGUACCUGCACUUAAGUCUUAAGUAAUUGAAAGACAAAAUAAUUAAGUCAAGCACUAUCCCUCCUGCUAUACUUCACCUUUGUUCUAGAGUUUUUCAUAAGUUUUCAAAAUAAAACUCAGAGUUCCCAGCAAUGAUUCUCUCCAGUCUCUCUAUAUGUGGUAUUUGUGGAUCCUUACCAAAAUGUCACUUACCUAUUGCUAAUGGAAUAUUUAAGUGGAGCUCAUAGGAGUGAAAAACAGCUCAUACAUAUGUUGUCUAAUCGAGCCAUGGAUCCAAAGGAACUCAGCAGAUAAUUAAAUCAUGAUAUGCAUGUGUGAUGGAGUAAAUGAUACUGAUGCAUAAGUGAUAAUAAAACUUAGUUCUCAUUGCUCCUCGUAUUGUUAUCUCUCAUCUUCUUUGAUCUUUGCUUUGGGAGAACAUGGGCCAUCUUUUCUUUCUUUUUCUUCUUUUUUUUCAGGUGGGUAGAAGAUACCCCUAAUUCUACUGUCGGACACUUGUCCAUUUUUCCGCUCAAGUGGGCAUCUUUGUACCCCUAAUUCUACUCCGGACACUUGUCCAUUUUUACCUCUCGUCUCACUCUUUUUCUUUCUUUUUCGAGGUUCCGGGCACUUGCCCCUUUUUAUUUUCUCGCAUAUUUUUGCAUAACCCAUGCCUCUUCUGCAUUGAAUCUUUUUAGAGAGAGAGAAUAAAAAUAUUUGGGACAGUGAGUGAUAAUAUAUAUAUAUUUUUAGCAAUUUUAAUGAUUGGUGAUGAAUGCUGUGGUAGAUGUGUGAAGUGAAUAUCUUAAUUUAACCACAUGAAAAGCUCCUAAGGGUCUACACAGCUCGAUCAAACUCAAUGUAAAUAUAGUAAAAGAUGUUAUAGCAAGUAUGGUUGUGGUAGGUAGUUGUAAUGCUAGGAACUCAUCAUGUGCUUUGUAAGUUUUCAAAAUAAAUCUCCAGAAUCUUAGUGUAGUAGGAACAAGAUAAACAGCAGCUCAACUUUAUAUCAUGCCUUUCUCUUACCUAGAUAUUAGUUUUAUGCUUCCCAAAGAUAGUAAGUUUUAGUAAUUCCUGGAAGAACUCUAAUAUAAAAGCUAGGUACUUGUAACAGAGCAACUGUUCAUCAUUUCCAUCAUGCAUUUUUUUGUCUUUUUGUUUUUCUAGAGAUUAAACUUAGCAGAUAAAUAAAGCACACUUAUCUACACACUCUUUUUAUUUUGUUUUCAUGUUUAUAAAAUGCAGUAAAUUAAAGCAAGAAAAUAUUUAUUAGGUUUUCUAAGUUUUUCCUUUUAAGAUAAAAAACUAAAAUAGAAAAAAAUAAAUAAGAAGAGCAAAUAAAAACUGACUUGAUAAAUUGGGGAGGAACUCCCCCAAGCUGGAUGUUGAUGUCGGCCUUACCCGAGGUUCCAGAACCGUAUCAUGGUUGUGAUGUUGUCGUUCAUUGUUGUUGUAUCUUGUCUCAGCUCUUGUACUGCAGCGGCAUGGUCCUGGUUCUAUUUUUGUUGCUCUUCCAGGAGUUGUCCAUGUUCUGCUUGCAUGUUCUGGAUGUCGAGGAGAGUGUUGUUGGUACGAGUGAAGAAAGCACCGGCCUCUUGAUAGUAGUCAUUCGUGAAAGCGUAGGAGGCAUUGGAGUAUCGUCCUGCAUCAAAUUGGGGCGGAGGUCUGGAUCCUGAAGCUCCAUAUGGAUCAGUGGAGCACCUGCCCAUAUGGAAAGGCGGGUUUGUCCACUGGUGGUCUUGGCUCUCCGGCCAUGUCUCCUUUGUUGGCUAUUGUGGUUGCGCAUGUCGAACCCAUGGGUCUCGAAGGACUCGGGGGUUGUAAUCGCAAUAAUGCAGGUGCGCUGCUUCUUCUGGUCCGGGAUCAGCUCCAUACCAGGUGCGUUCUCGAUGGGUGGUCAUCCUUUCAGAUGCCACUCGCUGUGGAGCUCUCUGGUUCACUGGUGUUGCUGCAAUCUCAAUCAAAAAGUUUUGAACAAUGUAGAGGCCAAGGUUCGGGUUAGGUAACCGAAUCUUGCCUCUAUCAUCGUAUAGCAUAUAUAUUAUAUUCCCCUCUUUCUUUAACAUCCGAGCUUGUCUAAAUGUGUCAUAGCCAUGAUAAAUUCUUAAGUCAUCUAUGAAGUCCAACGAUGAGUUUUCUAGUAAAUGAAGGUUAGAGGCUAGACGAGUGAUAAGUGAAGUGCAUCCUACUGGUCCCUGUAGACUAGGUACACUAAGCCAAUGAGAAACUAAAAGUGUAACAGGUGAAGUAGGUACUUUAUUAAUAGCAGCAUAUAAAAGUUGUAAAUCUCCUACUCUUACUUUCCUAAUAUCAUCACGAUAGAAAAGAUUGUACCCAAGCCAUUUGUGGAACAUCCUAAGAGUGGGGUGUUCCAUGUCACUGGUUCGGGCUUGACUAUAAAAAUUAUCUCUAGAUAUUUCUCUCCGAAACUGGUGUCUCUCAAAAUUAGGCAGGUCGGAGUCAAUGUUCAAGAUGCAUCUUGAAGAGAAACCAAGAUGGUCGCUCAGCUCUCUCCAAGACAACAUAAUUUCCUGUUUGAACAUCCGAAAAACAAUUCCCCCCUCAUAAUAUUGUAAGGUGCAAAGAAAUUUGAGGGUGAGAAGACGAGAACCCAGCUCAGUUAUAUUCCAAAAAUUUGUCCAACCUAUCAUUUGGAAAAUUAAGUCAAAUUCAGUGUCCAUACCUGUUUCUUGUAGUAAGAUUGGAUCGAGAGUAGGGGUGUGAAUAAAAUCUUUGUUCUUUAAUUGCUGAUAUACUUCUUUCUCUCUUCGGGUCUUCAGUCCAAGGUCUCCUAUCUUGAGAAGGACCUUGGCUUGCUGAUUAGAUGAAGAUGACGGAGCUUGUGUGGGCGUUGGGUCGACGCUCAUCUCUGAUGGCUGUGAGGAGUGUCAGGAUGAACUCCUUGUACCAAUGUUCUUGAGAGCCUUCCCUGCAUUCUUCACCUUCUUAAACAUCCUGCAAAUAAAAGUUGGCAAAAACACAACUAGUGGAAAAUGUGAGAGAAAAUGUUAGUGGUCAGCUGUCCAGAAUGUCAGUAGCCCAGGGGUUAGUCGUUCAAGAUAAGUUUCUAUUUUGGCAGAACUUCCCCCUAAACAACUUUUACUUCUGCUUAGACAACUACUUACUAGGUGAUACUUACUCUCUCACUCAAAAGAUCUCCCAACCUUCUCACACUCAGAGCUAUUUUCUGGAAACCGAGAACUACGAGCUUGCAAGGUUUUCUGAAAUGUAUGUGUGAAGAGAAGGGGAGCUAGAGGUGGCCAUUUAUAGGCUGAGCAGGGAACAGGGCGGGCGCCGUGGGUAGGUGGGCGGGCGCCCACCCCUGGUGUGGGUGUGCCUCCUCUACUUACUUCCUUGCUUUGAUCUCACGCAGAAUAAUGUUGUGUUGGUGGUUGUUGGACGGUGGAAAGAUGUCUGGUGAGUGGAAACAUAUUGGUGGAUGAAAUUAUGUGAUGGGAUGUAUGUGAGGUGAAGUGUAUGACAUGUGGGACCCAAGGAGUGUGGGUCAUGCUUCUAGAAGGUUACUAUAAUUAAAUAUAAUGCAGGAAAAUCUAUGAGAGUUGAAACUUAAUUAAAAUGAUUAUGGAAAAUAUUUUUCUGCCUCCACAAUAAUUAAUAAAUAUGGGUUGUUACACACCAUGAAUAUUAUUUAUAUGGGGCUUUUGAUUAUUAUAAUAAUGCUAUGAAUAAAUGUGACUAAUGCAAGAUUUAAUUAUGCAAGAAUUUAAAUAUGAGAAAAUUAAUAAUGCGGAUAAAUACCGAUUUACCUCCCGGUGAGGGUUUGGGAUUUUUAGGUCCCCCAUGCUCGACCUCCAAAUCUUUUAAUCUUCUGAAUUACCUUUCUCCGGAGAUGGUGUCUCCAGUGGUUCUUCAUGAACUUCCUUCACUGUAGAGUCUCUCUCUGGUCUGGGUUUGAAUGUGAAGUGUUCUUCUUGUCCGUUUAUGUUGAACUUGAUUUCUCCUUUCCUGACAUCAAUGUGGGCAUUGGCAGUGCUCAGAAAUGGCCUUCCAAGGAUGAUGGACACUUUUGAGUCAGGACUCAUGUCCAGUACUAUGAAGUCUACUGGCACCAGGAAAUCUCUGAUCUUGACUGGAAUGUUCUCGGCGAUGUAACAGAACCGACCAAAUUAUAAGAGAUUAAGCCUAAUAGUGACCAUUUGCAUAGUCGAACUAUCACGCUUAAGCCCAUAUAAUCCCGGUAGUCCGUGAAAUCUCGAAGGAUUUCAAACCACACAUCACAUAACAGCCAAGAUCGUAAUAAGUUUAGCGGUCGCCAUCCACAAGUACAUCCCGAUUACAAGAUUCAUAAAAUACAUCGGAGUGCUUAAAGUUAUUACAAACCAAGUUCUUCAAGUAGCGGAAGCUUCACAGUUCGAAAAUACAACACACACGAUAAAUCUGAUACAGUGCCAUAGUUCGGUCAUUCCCACAAAAGCAAAAGAAGAGACGGAGUGACCAUCGCCCUUGGUCUAGUCAUCACCCAUAGCUGGGUACAGACAGAGGAUGCAAUAACCAUAAUACAUUUGACCAUCUGCAAAACAACAUGGGAAUAGAACCCUGAGUACAAGAAGGUACUCAGCUAGACUUACCCGUCAUAAACUUAAAAUAAAGACUCAUCAAGGAUCAUGAAGGCUAUAUAGUGGGGGUAGCUGACGACAUCUUUGCAAAAACCGCAGUAUUUCACUAACAUAACUUCCCUAAGUCCUUCUUCUUUUAAUUAGCUCAAGUUGACAGUAUCAUUACCUAUUAUCUAGGUUUGCUCCUGUGCUAUUACAAGCAAGUAUGAGACUAUGAUAGUACCUCAUCACAGCAUUUCUUAAAACAAUUCAUCAUUAUAACCCAAGUGUUCCAUAGUCCUUACUACGAGGACAGGGCUCAUGUCAAGUGCUCACUAUCCAGGAGCGAUGGCGAUUCGAAUCGAUUUCUAACCAGCUGGCGAAUUUAUUCCCCACACAAACCACACUCACUGAUCAAGUGAGCUACAGGUCACCGUGUUGCACUAUCCAGGACCAAUUCGCGGGUUCGACAGGCACCGCCCGUACCCGAGGACCGUUCCGGCGACCGAGGUAUCCAAGGUAUACCAAGGUUGCGCGCCGCGCCCUCGUCGUUCUCCUCAACCAUCACCAAUACAGCGCGUACAUCGGGCCGAUUCCCGGCCCGGAUAGUGCUCAGGCUUCGCGGUCGGAACGACUUAUCCUUCCAGCUAAAUGUGGGGCAUGCGUUCAACAUGACAAGAGGGCCGUCAACGAUCGGUCCUUAAUCGACAUAGGCAGGGGCACUAUGGGCAACCCACCAUAAGACCCUGCCCAGUCUCCAAUUACAUUCCACACUCGGUUAUUUCCUUCCCCAAGCAACCAUUGCUUAAUUAAGCAGGUAUCCACCUAUAUCUCGCAGGUGACAGGGAAUCACCCGACUUCUACCGGACUAAGCAAGCUAAGCAUAGACUCCGCGCCUAUCUACAUAGGACAAGGUAGAUAAACGAGUAGGGAUAACAAGGAAUACAUAUGCAACAACGGUAUCAAGGAACUCCUAUUACUUAUAUGCAAUAUAGUAGAACAAGUGUAAUAUACUUAGUAGGUUAGCGAGAAUAGGGAGACUUAGAAUGCUCCGGGGCUUGCCUCUCUCAAAGGUGCUGGGUCGGUGAUCUGGACACUCCUGCAGUUCCUCCCCGGGUCCCUGUGCUUCCGGAGGUUCCUGCUCCUGAAUCUCCUCUGGCUCCUCGGGUCCCACCUCGUUCUCCUGCGAGCCUGUAUGAUGCAUAUAUGCUCAUGAGUGGAGUGCGAGAUGCCCGAGUGGAUGCUUAUAUGAGAGAGUACCAAAGGAGUCCUGUUAUGAUGUAUAGGUAAUGCAUUUGGUCAUGCUUAUUAUAAGGUAGUCAACAUCAUCCAAGAAUAAACAAUUGAAUCAAACACCCAUUACAUUCUCUUCUAUAAUUAUAUAAUAUAUAUAUAUAUAUUUUUUUUAAAAUGCAACCAGCCACCUCCAUGAUCCUUCAAAGAUACACCAAACCCAACUUAGUCCAUUCAACCUAGAUAUACAACCAUUUAUAGUUUUCUUUAUUCAUUUCUAAGCCCAUUAAAAAUCACAUGCAACUCUGUUCAUCAAUAAAUUCCAGAAAAAUUACAGGAGACUACUAGUUAAUCACAAAGUUCACUGUAAAUUUUUCAUAAUUUUUGGUUACUUAUUUUGAGCCACAAAAAUCACAAGAUUAGUUACUAAGGCAAGUAAAAUCACCCUACUGUGACAUAAGUGUCAAACAGCAGAUUUCAUAUUUUUACCAUUUGUCUAAUGUCAUAAGAAACAUCCACAAAAUUUUCCAGAUUUAUUGCAUGACCCAAAUAAUUAUUAAAAAUCAUAAACCACUGCCAUGCAAGCAUUUAAAUUACCAUAAUUUCAUUUAUACACCAAAUAAUAUGUAACAAUAUUUUCUCAGUGAGUAAACACACAUGCAGAGCCAGCAAAACAAGUUUCACAUUUUUCUGAGCCAUAUUCCAUUUACUAUGCAUUUUCCAAGUUUAACAAAAACAUGGAUAAAUUAUACUUACACAGAAAAGUUACUCAAACAUGACAUGCAAUCAUACUAGGACAUAGAUCUGGAAAUAAGGAACACACCAAAAUUUGUUUCACCAUUUUUGGAGCUAUAUUCAUCAAGAUAUGGAUUUUACAAACUUUAAAUCAUUUUCUGGAAAAACUUUUAAAAGAAAACCGUCGAAAAACGCUACGCUCACCCAGAUCUACACCCACUGCGGUACCCCUGCGACUGACAGUGGGUCCCCGACCCCACCAGUCAGUGAGACCGAGAGGGAGCUCACCUCCGACGAGCGGAUCUCGCCGGCGGUGAGGUCUCCGGCCACGGGGUGAGCACCAACGUGCUCCCCGCAGCGAGGCGCACCCAGCGGUACCCUUGGAUCGACCAGAGGACGGCCGGAACACCUCCGGCGAGCAUGCAUGGCGGCACGGCGGCGCUGCUCGCCGUGGCCAGGCUGCUCCGGCGCGGUAGAGCGUGCGCAAACGCCUCUCCGAGCUUCCUCACCUUCCUACCGACCUAGCGCGACAAAGAACGAGCGAAACGAUGCAGGGAAACGCUAGAUCCACCGCGGCGGAGUACUCCGGCGAGCUCGGGGUAACUCCGGCGAGCGAUUCAUGGCGCUCGACGGACUCUCACCUCGGUAGAGCGUUCGCAUGAGCUUACCCUAGCGACGGCGAGUGCCCUGGUGCUCUCGGCGUCGAGCUUGAUGCUCUGGUGUGGCCGGCGACGAGCGGCGGAGCUCUCUCCGGCAAUGGCGCGCGGAGGAGCGGCUGCUGCGGUGCGGUUUGAGCGGAGGAAGGAGAGGGAGGGAGCGGGGGAGACAGGAUGGGCGAGUGGUCUGGGAGCCAGCGCCGGCGUCCCGACCAGGGGGGUUGGAGGCCGGCCGCGGCGCGUCCAACGCCGGCGUACGGCCGCCACGUGGCCGGCGCCGGGUGGAGCGAGGCGCGUCCGCGCGCGGGAGGGAGAGGGAGAGGGGAGGCAGGCCGGGUCGCUUGCUGGGCCGAAAGGGAAGCGGGGUUGGCCCAGCAGCGCCUGCCCCUUUCUUUUUUUUUUUUUUGAAAUUUCUUUUCUCCAAAUUCUUUCUAAAUUCAUUUGGACCAAGUAAAAAUCGUUUUCACCUCUUGCUCCCAAAAACAAAGUUGUUCCAAAACAAAAACUCUACCACUUUGCUUUAACAAGUAAGACCAAAUUCCAAACAGAAUUUGAAUUACAAGUUAAAACUCAGUUCUAGGUUUUAAUAAAAAUUCUUUUUGGAUAUUUUGUAUAAAUUCCAUUUCUCAAAUUCCAUAGCUCCAAAAAUUGCACAAAAAUAUUCUAAAUUCUUCUUACACAUAAAGCAACCUAAUUUGAAUAUUCCACAAUUUUAGAAGCAAGCAUCAUAUUUUUAACAUAUUUAAAACUUAUGAAAUGAAGCACAUAAAAUCAUAUUCUUAGAAAAAUGAUAUGCUUAUGAUGCUUAUGAUUGAUGAGAAUGCUUAUGCAUGUCUUUGGUAAGGCCAAAUGCAUGCUUAACACCUAGGGUGUUACAGCCCUUCCCCCCUUAGGGAAAUCUCGUCCCGAGAUUUUGGGUUACUAACCAUUUCUUAUGAAAUUUUGGAUAAACUGUUUUCAAGUAAUCCUCUGUCUCCCAAGUGGCAUCCCUAUCGUCAUGAUGACUCCACACCACUUUAUAAGUUCUGACAACUUUGUUUCGGGUUACUCGCUCCUUGGUAUCCACAAUCCUCACCGGCUGCUCCUUAUACUCCAGGUCUGCCUUUAUCUUGAUUCCUCGAGGUUCAACUCUUUGCUCAGGCACUUUCAAACAUUUCCGUAGUUGCGACACAUGGAAGACCGGAAAGAUUGAGCUCAUCUCUUCAGGUAACUGGAUCUUAUAGGCCACUGGGCCUUUCCUCUCUAGCACUUGGUAUGGUCCCACAUAUCUGGGUGCAAGCUUGCUUCGAACUCGGAAACGUUGAACUUUCUUCAUUGGCGUAACCUUGAGGUACACAUAGUCACCUAUGUUGAAUUCAAGUGGCCUUCUCCUCUUAUCAGCAUAACUCUUUUGUCGUGAUUGCGCUGCUUGCAUAUGUUGUUGUAUGAUCUGCACCUUUUUCUCGGCAUCAUUUACAAAGUCGAUACCAUAGUAUCUUCUUUCACCAGGUUCAACCCAGUUCAACGGAGUCCGACAUCUUCGACCAUACAAAGCUUCAAACGGGGCCAUCUUGAUGCUCUCUUGAUAACUAUUAUUGUAGGAGAAUUCAGCCAAAGGUAACCACGAUUCCCAUGAUCCCUUGGAUGAUAGCACACAGGCCCUCAGCAUAUCUUCUAACACUUGAUUUAACCUCUCGGUUUGACCUGAAGUCUGGGGAUGAUACGCCGUGCUUCUUAUCAGACUGGUCCCCAGGCUCUUAUGCAUGCGCUCCCAAAAGUGAGCAGUGAACUGCGGUCCUCUAUCCGAUAUGAUAGUUUUGGGAAUACCAUGCAAUUUGACGAUCUCAGCCAUAUAUAUAUCAGCAUACUCGGGAGGUCUGUAACGAGUCUUCACAGGAAUGAAAUGGGCCGAUUUGGUCAAUCGAUCUAUAAUUACCCAAAUCGAGUCAUUCCCCUUCCUUGUGGUUGGUAAACCCGUGAUAAAGUCCAUACUGACCUCUUCCCAUUUCCACUCCGGAACUGAUAACGGUUGCAACAGACCUGCAGGUUUCAUAUGGAUGGCCUUAACCCUGCAACACGUGUCACAACGGGCCACAUAAGCUGCUAUUUCUUUCUUCAUCUUGGUCCACCAAAAGUGGGGCCUUAGAUCUUGAUACAUUUUGCUGCUGCCCGGAUGAAUAGAAAGCUUAGAAAGAUGGGCUUCAUCCAUGAUGCGAUUCUUCAACUCCCGAUCUUUCGGGACCACUAACCGCUGUUGAAACCACAGUACUCCCUUCUCAUCAACCCGAAACUGAGUUUUUGGGUCAUCUUUAAUCUUCUCUUUGAUGUGGAAAAUACCCUUGUCUGUUUUCUGACCUUCAAUGACUUGACUCUCGAGUGAACAACUGAGUUGUAUAUGGCAUAAGACCUCAGGAUGCAUAAGAUUGAACCCAUCUUCAAACAACGGUUGAACCAUUUGAUAGUGCGGUUUGCGACUCAAAGCAUCUGCAACCACAUUGGCUUUACCUGGAUGAUAGUGAACUUCCAGGUCAUAAUCCUUGAUUAGCUCUAACCACCGUCGCUGCCUCAUAUUCAGCUCGGACUGCGUGAAGAUGUACUUCAAACUCUUGUGAUCGGUGUAAAUGUGACACUUAUUCCCUAGCAGAUAAUGCCUCCAAAUCUUCAAAGCAUGCACCACAGCUGCUAACUCAAGGUCGUGCGUUGGAUAGUUGACUUCAUGCUUUCUUAGCUGUCGGGAAGCAUAAGCUAUCACCCUGCCAUCUUGCAUCAACACACACCCCAGGCCACUCUUCGAUGCGUCACAAAACACAUCAAAAGGCUUCUCUAUAUUAGGUUGUGCCAGAACGGGAGCAGUGGUUAGCAACCUUCGCAAGGUGCGGAAGGCUAACUCACACCCUUCCGUCCAGACGAACUUAUGAUCCUUUUGUAGCAAACUUGUCAUUGGCUUAGCAAUCUUGGAGAAGUCAGGUAUGAAACGACGAUAAUACCCGGCCAGACCAAGAAAACUUCUAACUUCCGAGACAGAAGUUGGUGCCUUCCAAUCCAUGACUUCCUGCACUUUUGAUGGAUCCACGGCAAUUCCUUCUUCAGACAAAAUGUGCCCUAGGAACGGAACUUUCUUCAACCAGAACUCACACUUGCUGAACUUGGCAUAUAACUGAUGCUCUCGUAAUCGGGUCAGCACGAUUCUCAGAUGUUCGGCGUGAUCUUGCUCAUUCUCUGAAUACACCAGGAUAUCAUCGAUAAACACCACAACAAACUUAUCCAAUUCUGGCAUAAAGACUGAAUUCAUCAGAUACAUAAAGUAUGCAGGAGCAUUUGUCAACCCAAAGGACAUGACAAGAUACUCAUACAACCCAUAUCUGGUGGAAAAAGCAGUCUUCGGGAUAUCUUGCGGACGAAUCUUGAUUUGAUGAUACCCGGAUCUCAAAUCUAUCUUAGAAAACACUCUUGCCUUGGAUAACUGGUCAAACAGGAUAUCAAUCCUUGGCAAGGGAUACUUAUUUUUGAUUGUCACUGCAUUGAGUGGACGAUAGUCCACGCACAUGCGCAACGACUGAUCCUUCUUUUUUACAAACAACGCUGGACAACCCCACUCCGACGAACUUGGCCGGAUGAACCCUUUAUCCAGCAACUCUUUCAGUUGUUUCUUCAACUCAGCGAGUUCAUUUGGUGGCAUCCGGUACGGCCUUCUAGAUAUUGGUGCUGUACCUGGUAUCAACUCGAUCGCAAACUCUACCUCCCUAUCUGGGGGAAGUCCGGGUAACUCCUCGGGAAACACAUCAGGGAACUCACAUACCACGGGUAUGUGUUCUAGGGGAACUACCUGUACUGCACACGAAAGACUGGCGAAGUCCAACCGCCGGGGUAACUUGAUCUGAAACACACCCUUCCCUUGCGGCUCUCUGAGGGAAAGAGUCCUGUUUCCAACAUCUAUAACCGUGCCCCAGUCAGUCAUCUUGUUCAUACCAAUGAUGACGUCCAAAACCAGUCCUGGCAUGACCACAAGGUUUACACGAAACCUCCGGCCACUGAUAUCCAAAGUAACCCCUGUUACCGUCUUAUUAGUCAACACAUCGGCUCCAGCUGAGCUGAUGCGAUAGCCAUAACCUAACUCAGUAACUGGCUGAUCAUGCUUUUGUGCAAAUGCUUGACUCAUGAAAGAAUGCGACGAUCCAGAAUCAAACAAAACAACUGCAAGGUGUUGGUUGACAGAAAACAUACCAGCUGUUACCGGUUCUCCUUCCGGAAUUUCCUCAAUCGAGGUAUGAUGCACGCGAGCUGGAUAGGUUGGCUGCUGUCUCUUGGGGUAGGGACAUUCCUUAGCAAAGUGCCCCGUCUUGUGGCAGUUAUAGCACGGACCCUUGGGCGCAUUAUUGACGGCAGGUGCUGCAGCUUGAAUGGCCUUUGGCUUGGCAGGAGCUAUCGCCACCUUGUACGGCUUCUGCUGUGUUGGAUGCCCGGUGUUCCUUCUCUGCGGUGGUCGGAACCUAGCACCCGGGGCAGGAGGACGAUACUGCGGUCGCCCUGCCACUGGUGCCCUGAACUGGGACGAUCCUGCUUCAAAAGCCCUUUUGCGUGACUUGGACGCACUGUAGUUGUUGUUAUUGUUCUCUUGGGUCAGACAGUCACUGAUAUAGGCAUUAAAAGUAGCCCUGGCCCCUGUACCCAUGGUCUUCAGCAUCUUUGGAUUUAAGCCUCUCUGGAAACUAGCAAUCUUCUUGGCCUCUGUGUUUACAAACUCAGGGGCAUAUCGAGCGAGACUAUUGAAGGCAUGUAGAUACUCUUUCACAGAUUUCGUCCCCUGGGACAGCCUCAUGAACUCCCCAACCUUCAUUUCAACCACCCCAGGAGGAAUGUAAUUUCCCCGGAAAGCGGUGGUGAAGCGGUUCCAGGUGAUUGGUGUCCCUUCUGGGUAGGUGGUACGGUGAUGGGACCACCAAAUCCCAGCAGGUCCUUGCAACUGAUGUGCCGCAUAUUCGGCCUUGAGUUCUUCUGUCAUUCGGAGAAGACGAAACUUCUGCUCCAUGGUGUUGAUCCACUCAUCCGCUUCGAGCGGUUCCAAGGCCUCCUUAAAGAUUGGUGGCUUGGUAUCCAUGAAGUCCUUGAACGAACUGUACUGGUUGACCUCUCGGCCGCCCGGGUUAUCUCCACGACGGGUGUUAUCAGCUAUGUUGCGCAAAGCUUCUUCCAUGUUGCGCUGCAUCUGCUCCAUGUUGCGUUGGCUUCCCAGAAACUGCGCGAAAAACACAUCCGCAGUGUACGGGGGAGGUGGUGGUGGUGUUGGCGCUCUGUCCUCAUCCCGUUGGGCCCCAUUUCCGGAUGUACCUGCUCCAAGACCCGGAUUGCUAUUACCCCCGCCACGUGUUUGCACCAUCUGCAUAUGCCAAUGAUAAGCAAUCGUUAGGAGUUGCCAUCAACGGUAGAAAAUGUGUAAAAUCGUGCCAUACUGAAUUUACUGAGGGAAUAAAUUCACACAAUAAACAAAGGCACAACAACUCAUUAUCCACGCACAACAUCACUAACAGAUUACUUAACAUUCACGCAACAAGGUUCGCGGACAUCCAACUUGCCAGCAUACAUACACUGGACUUUCAACAUCAACUCACAAAGUCUUACACAGCCCAGAUCCAAAAGUACACGACAUGCCAUGCAACAUACAACAACAAAGGAGGGAAGACUAGCUCUAGAGCCCUAGCAUCUACUCGCUGUGGUCACUGUCCAUGCCAGAGCCAUCCUCAUCCUCGUCACCACCAGCAGCUGCUCCUAUCUCGGGAUCCGCGUCCAUCUCGUCCUCAGAGUCUAGCUCCGCUGCUCCAGGAAGGUGGUGAGGGUGGAGCUGGUUAUGCAGCUGGUGGAUCUCCUCAUGCAAGUUCUCAUUGUACUCCUCGGCAUUAGCUAGCUGCUGCUCUAGCUCUAGCUGUCGGGCCCUCAAAGUGUCCUCCUCGUGCCAGGCUUCAUUUCUCUGUCCAAGCACAUGGACUAGCAUGCGCUCGCAGUUCCUGUGAGCAGUAGUCACCCUGUCCUUCUGCUCCCGUACUGCGAGCAGGUCCUGACUCAGCUCACUGUUCUGCUGGACGGCCUGGUCUCUCUCUCUGGUCACACGAGCCAACUCUGCCUGUAGCCUCUCAACCUCAGAGUCAAACUCACGCUGCAACUGACGCUUCUCAUCCUGGACGGUGAGAAGAGACCCGGACAAACGACCCAAACAACGCUCUAGGCCUCCAUAGGUCUUCAUCAACGCGUACAUGGCACUCAUAGCUGCACUGUCACUGUGCUGGUCCUCAUCCGCACUCCUCUCUAGAGCAUUCACCUCGGACUGAUCCCACACCGAAGCGUAAGGGUCACCCCGGGGAAACACCCCAGCGAAGGCGUGGGCCAGCUCCUGUGGAAACCUCUCCAUGAGGUCCCUCAGAACUGCGAAAGCUGCCCUGCUGGCACCGUGGAAAGGCGUGACACCUCGGGACUCGUACACCCAGCCGCCCCAAGCAGGGUCUCCUCCACUAGUAGGGACAACUGCCUCAACCCCCACCAGGGUCUCGUCACCAAGCGGCUCCUUAUCCCAAUAGUAGCGAGGCUCCCUUCCUUCGGGAUACCCCAUCGAACUGAGCACCCUCCAAAGCAAAGUGGGCAUCCCAAACUCCUCUAGGAACUUGCUCUUAUGUCGCGAGCUCCUAGCUGCCAACGGACGGCGAGGGGCCCGCCCACCAGUGGACUUGCGAGCUGUGAGCCUAGUGCGUGCCAUCUGCUGCAAAUGGAAUACCGCGGGUAAGAGCGAGGAUUACCUUUAAUUGUUUUAUUUAGAGUUGAGACAGGUUAACUUAAGGGGGAAAGUAAGCAAUGAUAUGAAAUAAACAUGAUGCAUGCACGAACUUACGAUCUCACAAACUUAGAAAACAAAGGUUAACACUAAGCGGUAUAUGCGGUGGCACACAACGUUCUCUCAUAACGUAACUAGCGUUCUAAGCGAGAACGUGGUUAGAGUACCUGCAGAAAACUCAUUUCAGCCCACCCACAAUAUGGUCAUGCAGAGCAAGAAUGUAAAACCAUGCACUGCACAUACACAGACACCCGUCCAUGCAUGUGACGUGCCACUACCCACAUCAUCGCCCUAUUGACGGCAUCGCCUCUCAGGACGGAAUUCCCAGCAUGCGGUACUGUUCCCAAGACACACCAACAUGUGUGCAUGACACAGCACCUGACAACACUUCCCUAGACCGGCAGUGUAUCCGAUCAUGCUCUCACAACUCCCACUUACCAUGGCGUAGAGGAAGAAUUGACCCAUACAUUACCACUCAAAUGAAUGGCACUCAUACUAUUGCACGCCGUAUGAGCGACGAAAUAAAAAUAUGAUGCAUUAACCCCCGAGUCAGUACUUAGCUAGCCACCUUAGAGUCCUUAACUGGGCAUAAAGGAUAUGACCAUGGCACACUAGAUAGUUUUCCAAAACUUAGUUUAACACCUUGAUCGUUAUUAAUUACUAAAAUCUUUCAUUAAACCGUUCUAGGCUUUUGUUUAGAAGGUACUUAUGAACAGUAACUCGCUAAACUUUGCUCCGAUACCAGCUGUAACAGAACCGACCAAAUUAUAAGAGAUUAAGCCUAAUAGUGACCAUUUGCAUAGUCGAACUAUCACGCUUAAGCCCAUAUAAUCCCGGUAGUCCGUGAAAUCUCGAAGGAUUUCAAACCACACAUCACAUAACAGCCAAGAUCGUAAUAAGUUUAGCGGUCGCCAUCCACAAGUACAUCCCGAUUACAAGAUUCAUAAAAUACAUCGGAGUGCUUAAAGUUAUUACAAACCAAGUUCUUCAAAUAGCGGAAGCUUCACAGUUCGAAAAUACAACACACACAGUACUUCUGAUAUAGUGCCAUCGUUCGGUCAUUCCCACAAAAGCAAAAGAAGAGACGGAGUGACCAUCGCCCUUGGUCUAGUCAUCACCCAUAGCUGGGUACAGGCAGAGGAUGCAAUAACCAUAAUACAUUUGACCAUCUGCAAAACAACAUGGGAAUAGAACCCUGAGUACAAGAAGGUACUCAGCUAGACUUACCCGUCAUAAACUUAAAAUAAAGACUCAUCAAGGAUCAUGAAGGCUAUAUAGUGGGGGUAGCUGACGACAUCUUUGCAAAAACCGCAGUAUUUCACUAACAUAACUUCCCUAAGUCCUUCUUCUUUUAAUUAGCUCAAGUUGACAGUAUCAUUACCUAUUAUCUAGGUUUGCUCCUGUGCUAUUACAAGCAAGUAUGAGACUAUGAUAGUGCCUCAUCAUAGCAUUUCUUAAAACAAUUCAUCAUUAUAACCCAAGUGUUCCAUAGUCCUUACUACGAGGACAGGGCUCAUGUCAAGUGCUCACUAUCCAGGAGCGAUGGCGAUUCGAAUCGAUUUCUAACCAGCUGGCGAAUUUAUUCCCCACACAAACCACACUCACUGAUCAAGUGAGCUACAGGUCACCGUGUUGCACUAUCCAGGACCAAUUCGCGGGUUCGACAGGCACCGCCCGUACCCGAGGACCGUUCCGGCGACCGAGGUAUCCAAGGUAUACCAAGGUUGCGCGCCGCGCCCUCGUCGUUCUCCUCAACCAUCACCAAUACAGCGCGUACAUCGGGCCGAUUCCCGGCCCGGAUAGUGCUCAGGCUUCGCGGUCGGAACGACUUAUCCUUCCAGCUAAAUGUGGGGCAUGCGUUCAACAUGACAAGAGGGCCGUCAACGAUCGGUCCUUAAUCGACAUAGGCAGGGGCACUAUGGGCAACCCACCAUAAGACCCUGCCCAGUCUCCAAUUACAUUCCACACUCGGUUAUUUCCUUCCCCAAGCAACCAUUGCUUAAUUAAGCAGGUAUCCACCUAUAUCUCGCAGGUGACAGGGAAUCACCCGACUUCUACCGGACUAAGCAAGCUAAGCAUAGACUCCGCGCCUAUCUACAUAGGACAAGGUAGAUAAACGAGUAGGGAUAACAAGGAAUACAUAUGCAACAACGGUAUCAAGCAACUCCUAUUACUUAUAUGCAAUAUAGUAGAACAAGUGUAAUAUACUUAGUAGGUUAGCGAGAAUAGGGAGACUUAGAAUGCUCCGGGGCUUGCCUCUCUCAAAGGUGCUGGGUCGGUGAUCUGGACACUCCUGCAGUUCCUCCCCGGGUCCCUGUGCUUCCGGAGGUUCCUGCUCCUGAAUCUCCUCUGGCUCCUCGGGUCCCUCCUCGUUCUCCUGCGAGCCUGUAUGAUGCAUAUAUGCUCAUGAGUGGAGUGCGAGAUGCCCGAGUGGAUGCUUAUAUGAAAGAGUACCAAAGGAGUCCUGUUAUGAUGCAUAGGUAAUGCAUUUGGUCAUGCUUAUUAUAAGGUAGUCAACAUCAUCCAAGAAUAAACAAUUGAAUCAAACACCCAUUACAUUCUCUUCUAUAAUUAUAUAAUAUAUAUAUAUAUAUUUUUUUUAAAAUGCAACCAGCAACCUCCAUGAUGCUUCAAAGAUACACCAAACCCAACUUAGUCCAUUCAACCUAGAUAUACAACCAUUUAUAGUUUUCUUUAUUCAUUUCUAAGCCCAUUAAAAGUCACAUGCAACUCUGUUCAUCAAUAAAUUCCAGAAAAAUUACAGGAGACUACUAGUUAAUCACAAAGUUCACUGUAAAUUUUUCAUAAUUUUUGGUUACUUAUUUUGAGCCACAAAAAUCACAAGAUUAAUUACUAAGGCAAGUAAAAUCACCCUACUGUGACAUAAGUGUCAAACAGCAGAUUUCAUAUUUUUACCAUUUGUCUAAUGUCAUAAGAAACAUCCACAAAAUUUUCCAGAUUUAUUGCAUGACCCAAAUAAUUAUUAAAAAUCAUAAAUCACUGCCAUGCAAGCAUUUAAAUUACCAUAAAUUCAAUUAUACACCAAAUAAUAUGUACCAAUAUUUUCUCAGUGAGUAAACACACAUGCAGAGCCAGCAAAACAAGUUUCACAUUUUUCUGAGCCAUAUUCCAUUUACUAUGCAUUUUCCAAGUUUAACAAAAACAUGGAUAAAUUAUACUUACACAGAAAAGUUACUCAAACAUGACAUGCAAUCAUACUAGGACAUAGAUCUGGAAAUAAGGAACACACCAAAAUUUGUUUCACCAUUUUUGGAGCUAUAUUCAUCAAGAUAUGGAUUUUUGAACAUUUAAAUCAUUUUCUGGAAAAACUUUUAAAAGAAAACCGACGAAAAACGCUACGCUCACCCAGAUCUACACCCACUGCGGUACCCCUGCGACUGACAGUGGGUCCCCGACCCCACCAGUCAGUGAGACCGAGAGGGAGCUCACCUCCGACGAGCGGAUCUCGCCGGCGGUGAGGUCUCCGGCCACGGGGUGAGCACCAACGUGCUCCCCGCAGCGAGGCGCACCCAGCGGUACCCUUGGAUCGACCAGAGGACGGCCGGAACACCUCCGGCGAGCAUGCAUGGCGGCACGGCGGCGCUGCUCGCCGUGGCCAGGCUGCUCCGGCGCGGUAGAGCGUGCGCAAACGCCUCUCCGAGCUUCCUCACCUUCCUACCGACCUAGCGCAACAAAGAGCGAGCGAAAAGACGUAGGGAAACGCUAGAUCCACCGCGGCGGAGUACUCCGGCGAGCUCGGGGUAACUCCGGCGAGCGAUUCAUGGCGCUCGACGGACUCUCACCUCGGUAGAGCGUUCGCAUGAGCUUACCCUAGCGACGGCGAGUGCCCUGGUGCUCUCGGCGUCGAGCUUGAGGCUCUGGUGUGGCCGGCGACGAGCGGCGGAGCUCUCUCCGGCAAUGGCGCGCGGAGGAGCGGCUGCUGCGGUGCGGUUUGAGCGGAGGAAGGAGAGGGAGGGAGCGGGGGAGACAGGACGGACGAAAUGGCCUGGGAGCCAGCGCCGGCGUCCCGACCAGGGGGGUUGGAGGCCGGCCGCGGCGCGUCCAACGCCGGCGUACGGCCGCCACGUGGCCGGCGCCGGGUGGAGCGAGGCGCGUCCGCGCGCGGGAGGGAGAGGGAGAGGGGAGGCAGGCCGGGUCGCUUGCUGGGCCGAAAGGGAAGCGGGGUUGGCCCAGCAGCGCCUGCCCCUUUCUUUUUUUUUUUGAAAUUUCUUUUCUCCAAAUUCUUUCUAAAUUCAUUUGGACCAAGUAAAAAUCGUUUUCACCUCUUGCUCCCAAAAACAAAGUUGUUCCAAAACAAAAACUCUACCACUUUGCUUUAACAAGUAAGACCAAAUUCCAAACAGAAUUUGAAUUACAAGUUAAGACUCAGUUCUAGGUUUUAAUAAAAAUUCUUUUUGGAUAUUUUGUAUAAAUUCCAUUUCUCAAAUUCCAUAGCUCCAAAAAUUGCACAAAAAUAUUCUAAAUUCUUCUUACACAUAAAGCAACCUAAUUUGAAUAUUCCACAAUUUUAGAAGCAAGCAUCAUAUUUUUAACAUAUUUAAAACUUAUGAAAUGAAGCACAUAAAAUCAUAUUCUUAGAAAAAUGAUAUGCUUAUGAUGCUUAUGAUUGAUGAGAAUGCUUAUGCAUGUCUUUGGUAAGGCCAAAUGCAUGCUUAACACCUAGGGUGUUACAGGCGAUACCCAACGGUUGUCGAACCGAUUGAUCCGCUAGUUGUAGGCACAUUGAUGUUGGUUCUAGGGUUACAUGCUCAAGCUUUUUGUAGACUGAUGCUGGCAUCACACUGACACUUGCUCCGAGAUCACAGAGUGCAUUGUUGAAGUGUUGGUUUCCGAUCGAGCAAUCAAUAGUGGGGCAUCCUGGAUCUUCCUUCUUCUUUGGUAGUUUGCUGAGGAUGGCCGCACUACAUUCUUCUGUCAGCUUGAUAACCUCAGUGGUGGGCAGUGGUCUGUUCUUGUUAAGAAUAUCUCUGAUGUACUUCGCAUAUGUAGGUACCUGUAUGGCAUCCAGCAGAGGUAUGUUGACAUAUAAUUUCUAAAUGACCUCUACAAACUUACCAAACUGCUCAUCCGACUGCAAUCCUCUGUUUCUUCUGGGAAAUGGCAAAUAGUUGGUGUCAUAAAAAUCUUUCCUCAUUUCUCCAAUUCUUGGUGGUUGUAGCAGAUCUUCUGCUUCAACAAGGCUUUCUUCUUCUAUCACUGCUGGUUGCACUGGUGCUGAUGUUCUUUGUUUCUCUUUUGGGUAUGUGGGAUCUCUGGUGGCUUUGCCUCCUCUAGUAGUUAUGUUCUUUACCUGCUCAAUGUUAGUAGCAACAGGCAGUGCAACAGCUAUCUUUAUUAAUUUAAGCUCUAUCCUUUUAUUAAGAGUGUUUUGCUCAUCAAAGACAGUUAGUAGAAAAUCCAUUUUAUUGUGAAUAUCUUUUAGAGAUGAUUCAUUUGUAUCUAGCCUUUGUUUAACUUCAUCAUUAAUUUUGGUUUGUUGAGCAAUUAUCUCUUUUAAUGAAAGUUGCUUGAAAGUAUUACCUGAAUUCAUACCUUUGCUAUUGGGUUGACUCGAAGUUGGUUGAUAUUUGUAUGCUGUCUCAAUGGCCCUUUGAUCUUCUUUGAACUUGGCCCUCUAGUCAAUCCAAUGGAGCAAAUUUUCCAUCUUAGUUGAUAAUGCAUUUACUUCUUCUGGUAUUUCUUCAGUUUGAUGCCAUUGUUGAGCUUUAUCUUGGAACCAGCUUUGAUUUUCUGCUAUCUUAUCCAAAAGUAUCUCUGCUUUUCCAGUUGUAAGCUCCAAGAAUGAUCCCUUAGCAGAUGCAUCUAGACACUCACGAGCCUUCUGGGUUAAUCCAUGGUAGAAGGUCUGCUUAAGUAACCAUGUGGCCAUUCCAUGGUGUGGACAAUCUGAAAUGUAUCCUUGAAAACGAUCCCAUGCUUCUGAAAUGGCUUCUGUCUUCUGCUGUUGGAAACUGACAAUAUUUCCUCUUAAGGCAGUUGUUUUGCCUAUAGGGAAAAACUUUGAUAGAAAGGCAUCUGACAAGUUCGUCCAGUUGUUGAUGUUAUCUUGAUGAGUGUAGAACCACUUCCUCGCUUUCCCUUCUAGUGAGAAUGGAAAAAGGCGAAGUAGUAUGACGUCUUUGUCAACUCCGUUGAUGUGGAUUGUGCUUCCAAUCUCUAAGAAAUUCUUCAAGUAUGCACUAGCAUCUUCAUGUGCCUUUCCACUGAAUUGUGUAGCUUGUACCAAAUUGAUGAGGCUUUACUUGAGCUCAAACUCGGGUACUCCUUCUUCUACUGCAAAUAUUGGACUAGUUGGAAUGUUCUCAAGACUUGGAGCAGAGAAUUCUUGCAAGGUCUUUUGUGCCAUAGCUUCAACAAUUGGUAGCUAGCUUCCUCUUUUGCAAUUAUUUCUCUAUAGUCUAGUCUAAAAUUUUAUAUGAAUAACCUUGACUGAUUUACUGGCUUUCCUUACCGUUCCUAUGUGUUACCCUUUUGUUCCUGGGCAACGGCGCCAGAAAUGCUUGUUGACACUAGCUAACACCACUUAGAUACUAGGUUGUCGUCUCCAGUAUGGUGCUAGAGUGUACAAAGGUAUUUAUAAAUGUAAAGGCUCUCUAGAAAAUAAUCUAUUCUAUCCGCAAGCACACAGAUAAAACACCUCAUUGUAGCAUUUCACCAGGAUAAGUAUUCUAGGUAUCGUUAUUUAUAGUUCUGCUUAAAAGAACAAAAGGGAUGAAAUUAAAUUAAGGACAAAAUCUAUCAAGGCAUAGACUAGAGAUAAACUUGCAAGAACAUGAUUACUAAUGAGAAACUCGUCACACAGUCACUUACUUUAGCAGGGGGUAAACCAUAAAGAUAAUGAUAAUGAAUUAUAAGUUCAAGGGAUAAAUAACACAGCGAUUAGAAAAUAGACUACUCCUCAUAUAUGUAGGUGAUGUCGGAUUAGCUAGAGAAUGGAUUCUAAGUUUUCUACUAACUACUAAGUCAUAAUCUACUCGAGUUAUCUACAAGAUCAUAUAUAGCAUAAAAGACUCUUCAUUCAUGUAUAAGGAACAUUGAUAAAGUAAAUCAGAGCAUCGCAUGACUUACUCCACAAUACCGGUUCUGCUUGUCCUAUCAACGGAGGGUGGACUAUAUAAGAAUCAACGAAGCUGUCACUAUCGCGAACUACCACACGACCCGGCCAAUAGGAUACAUUUGCAGAUAAAUAACAUCUAAGCACCAUGCUCACAUGUGAUGUAUCACCUAACUCCCUCGCGUCAAGAGCUAAGCGCUUUGCAAACUCAUACAUAAACUCAUUAUCAAUUAGAACUAUAUCAAAUAUAGAACUAGAACAAACUAAGAACAUAAUAAUUAGAGACAUAAUGCAAUUAGAACAAAGAAUUAGAGAAAGAUAUGAAUAAUACCAAUCUUUAUUACCGAAGAUCUGAAUCCAGAGCGUAGUGCUCUACUUCUCUAAUUGCUAUCUAAUCAAACCUCUAAACUUGAAGGAUUAGGGAGUAGCUAAUUCUAAUUCUCUGUGGGAGAGAAGCUCUAAACCCUAACUUUGAUGGCUACCUCUGAAUAAUGAUUUCUUCUCUUCUCCUCUCUCCUCCAGGGGGAGAGGCCUUGGUUUUAUAGUCCCUUCAAGUGAAUUUGUGCCGUCGGAUCAAACCGACAUUGAUUGUGUGGUUUAGAUUGAUCCUUUAGGUCGGUGGAGUUUAGCCCCGAAGCAGAGUCCUGAUUGGACUCCUGGCCUGGGCGGGCGCCCAAGGGGGGUGGGCGGGCGCCCUUCCCCCGAGCCCGAUCCUCUUCUCGUUCGUUCCCGUGGCUUCUGGACUCUUCUAGAUUGAAGAAAAUUGCGCGGCACGUAAUUAUCUCAUUGUAAACAUGACAUGUGGGCCUUCUCUCCAUAUUCUCUGAUUACCCCCUGCAGAAAUAGAUAAACACAAAAGCUCGUGGAAUGCUGUCAGAUAAUACCCUAAUUCUAGAUGUUUAUUUCAGAUUGAUCCUUUUCCAUGUUUAUUUGAUUGUUAAUUUUAGUACUUAAGGACCGUCAACAGUAAUCUUGCUAAGUCUUGCUGAGUUAGUUAGUUAUCUUGUGUGAGCUUGUGAUGAAAGUUACUCCGUAAAUGAGUGUCCAGUGAAGUUUUAUUUAGGUUAUCAAGCAUCCAUCAUCAUCUAGGAUGCACACAUGCUUAUUCAUCGUGAAUGCAAUAGGUGCACCGGAAACGACCACUUCGUUCGAGCUCAAUCAGGUGAACGCCGAAGGCCAGGAGUUCAACCCGGAGGUGGAGGUCUAGCAAGCCGGGCACGAGGAGCCUGAAGAGGAGGUCGAGUGCCCGAAUCACAAGCCUGCAUCGUUCGUGAAAGGCAAGCCCCGGAGCAUCUUAAGUCUCCCACUUUAAUUUCGAAAGCUUAUUUGAAUAUGUUAUAUCUAUUGAUGCAUUACGUAUAGGAGUUGUGAUGAAACCCUUGCUGCAUUAUAAUUAUUCCUUGUCCAGAUAUCUUACCUUUACCUGGUCAUAGAAUUAGAAUCGAGUAGCAGCUUAGCCAUGCUCUAAUCGGUAGAUGUUGGGUGAUAUCCUGUCACCUGCGUGAAAUAGGGUUGUGUCGGAUCACGAUUGACUAUAUGUGCUAUCGUGGAAAGAACUUGAUUAAAAUGACUUAAGCCGGGUGGAGUUUUGCAAGGAUGUAGUAACUCCAUCUGUGGCAGCUAAGGACCGAUCGUUGUACGUCCUCUUGUCUUGUUGAACACAUGCCUAACACUUAGUUGGCCAGAUAACUCGUUCCGACCACGAAGCCUAGUAGUAUGACUCAGGCCGGAAGGCCGGCAAGAUAAAGUGUGCACUACCAGAGGAAGUGCGGUGUGCGGGGAAACAUUGGCGUAAGACCAAAGGCAGGUGAGUUAAAAGUCCUGACCUCCAUGGCAGAGUGGUAGCCCUGGGAGUGCGGCGCUGAUCGGAGCCGCGAUUCCUGAGUCAUACCAAAGGUGACCCGCUGGUUCUCCGAUGGGGGAUGCUUGGGUGAGUGCUAGGAAUAACCCUCCAGCUGGAUAGGAAUCAAUUCGAAUCGCCGUCUCUCCCGGAUAGUGAGAACUUGACAGAGCAGCGGCAAACGUAGCAUUCACUAAAGAACAAUGGUUCGUGAUAAUGAUGAUAGCAAGGAAGAGCACAUGAUGAACUUGAUAUGGUUAUUAUUGUUUGUAAUACUCAAGCGAAGUGUUUUAGUACAGGUGCUAAUCUAGUGAUAGGCUAAUAAAGAUUAAAUGGAUGCCUUUACAAAUGAUAUAGUAAUCACUUAAGCUUUUUGGCAAAUGAUGAAUCAAACCAGCUACACUUUAUAGUUAGCCUUUCAUGGUCCUUGGUGUCUUUUAUGUUUUUACUAGACGGGUAAAUCUAGCAGAGUACAUCCUCGUACUCAUGGUUUAUUCCACCUGUUGUAGAUGAUGUCUUUUAUGACGGCUUCUGCAAGACCUGUCUCCAUCCCGCUGGGGAUGAGGACUAAACCGUUGGGCACGGUUCUCUAACAACUUCGUACCUGUUGCUUUUGGAUGGAUGGCAUGAGACUCUGGCAAUAAGAGAAACGUUGGAAUGUGUGUUGUAAACUAUUUUGCUUCCGCUACUGCAAACUUGUGUUGUAAUAACUAAGUAACUCUGAUGUGGGGCUGCAUCGAUGGUAAUGAAUGAACUAUGUAACAUUCACUGUGUUAUGUUGAACUAUUACGAUCUUGGUUUGUUGCAAGUUGGUUUGAAGUCCUUCAUGAUUUCAGUUGACUACCGGGAUUAUAUGGGAUCAAGUGUGGAAACUUGAUUGCCAGUCGAUCGUUUCUACACUUGAACUCUUAUAAUUUGGUCGGUUCUGUGACAGCGGGUUUGCUUGGCUCAGAAUUGGCACCCAUGGCAUGAAUGAAACAGCUCGAUGGCGUCAACAACGACCGUUGGCCUGUAGAAGCCUUGCCGAAAAGCGUUGCCAACGAGGGUUCUAGGAGCCGCAUGGUGUCCACAAGCCCCCGAGUGUAGAUCCUCAAGGAGCUUUUGACCUUCCUCUAUGGUGAUGCAGUGGUCGGGCUUCGCCGGUACAGCUCCUUGCUUUUGCCAUAGAUCACGUAUGAUUUGGCUCGUCGAGCAAUUCGGCGGUCCUCAGCUCGAUCUUCUGGUAAUUCACUGUGGAUCAGAGAGUCGAGGAAGGGCGUGCACCAAUCAAAUGUUCACCUAGGGCAUCGAGGGGUUUGCUCAGCCUCCAUCAUUGCCACCGUCGUUCGGAGAGCCUCAAUUGUGUCGGCGGGCUCAGGAGUCGGUGCCUUGAUGCUUGCUCCUGCGCUAAGGUUGACAGAUGGUUUGAGCAGGUGUCUCGAGAACGUGUCUGGUGGGACAGUGCCUCGAGUUGACGCAAUCUUAGCAAGCUCAUCGGCUACUUCAUUGUUUCGCCGUGCGAUGUGAACGAGCUCGAGAAAAUGGAACUUGUUCUCAAGCUUGUGUACAUCCUUGCAGUAUGCCUCCAUCUUCGGGUCAUGGCAGCUCGAGGCUUUCAUGACUUUAUCUAUGACCAGCUGAGAGUCACCUCGAACGUCGAGGCGUCAGACCCCUAGCUCGAUAGCGAUCCUUAGCCCAUUGACAAGGGCCUCGUAUUCUACAACGUUAUUGGAUGCAGCAAAAUAUAUUCGAAUGACAUACCUCAUGUGGACGCCGAGGGAUGAGAUGAAUAACAGGUCUACCCCUACCCCUAUCUUCAUGAGUGACCCGUCGAAGUACAUCGUCUAGAGUUCUGCUUGGACCUGAGCCGGGGGAAGCUGGGUGUCUGUCCAUUCCGCCUUGAAAUCUGCCAGUGCUUGGGACUUGAUGGCUUUGCGAGGCACAUAGGUGAGGGUCUCCCACAUGAGCUCGACUGACCACUUGGUGAUCCUCCCAGUGGCCUCUUGAUUCUAGAUGAUCUCGCCUAGUGGGAAGGAUGAGACCACCGUGAUCGGAUGGCUGAGAAAAUAGUGUUGUAGCUUGCGUCGAGCGAGGAUCACAGCAUAGAUUAGCUUUUGGAUCUGGGGGUAUCGUACCUUUGUUUUUGAGAGAACCUUGCUGAUGAAGUAGACCGGCCGCUGAACUCGAAGUGCAUGCCACUCUUCUGGUCUUUUGAUCACCACAACAGCGCUAACGACCUGGGUUGUCGCCGCAACAUAAAGGAGCAGAGGUUCUGCGGGUCGAGGGGGCACACGGAUCGGAGCAGUGGAGAGCAUUCUUUUGAGUUUGUCGAGAGCUUCCUCAGCCUCGAUGGUCUAGGUAAAGCGCUUAGCUUUCUUUAGGAGUCGUUAUAAUGGCAGCGCUUUUUCCCCACCCUCGAGAUGAAAUGCCUCAGCGCCGCCAAACAGCUCGUAACUUUUUGCACACCCUUGACAUCUCGAAUCAGCCCCAUCUUGGUGAUGGCCGAGACUUUCUCGGGGUUGGCCUCUGUAACAGAACCGUCCAAUUUAUAAGAGCUCGAGUGAAUUAGCGACCACGAGCGCAGUCAAGCCAAUGGACUUGAACCCAUAUAAACCCGAUAGUCUGACGAAACCUCAAAAGAUCUCGAUUCAACCAACAUACAACCAAGACCGUACAUGAUCAAGCAUCUCCAUCACAGAUUACAAACAUUUGUCAUAGAACAUGGUUUUACACACAUCGGAGUUCAAAUAAAGUUAUUACAACAUAGUUCGGUAGAGGAAGCAAAGUAGUUUUGAAACAACACACACUUAGUUCAGUUACAUGCCAGUUCGAUGAUCAUCCCUACAAAAGCAUAACUGAAGAUAUGAGAGGUGAUCUUGCCCGAGAUCUACACAUCAUCCGCAGCUGGAUGGUGACAGUUAGCACAGUAGCCAUGAUACACGACAUCAUCUGCAACAAGGGUAAAUAGAAGCCUGAGUACGAGAAUGUACUUAGCUAGACUUACCUGCCAUAAACCAGAAAUAAAGUGACACCAAGGAGUAUGCAAGGCUCACAUUUGUGGGCUGGUUUGACUCACAUUUUGCAUAAAAAGCUUUAGUUUUGAGUAACACGUUUAUAACAUUUUCAGCAGCAAGUUCAUUACUUAAAACAGCUAUCCACUAGAUUAGCACCUGUUCUAAGCAUACACUUGAGUAUUAAGCAUCACAAUAAUAACCAUAUCCAGAUUAUCACAUAGACAACAUCAUUCUCAUCAUAACCAUUAAGUUUAUUUAGUGAGUUCUACGUUGCCGCUGCUCGAGUCAAGUUCUCACUAUCCAGGAGAGACAGCGAUUCAAAUCGAUUCCUAUCCAGCUGGAGGGGUAUUACUAGCACUCCCCAAUCAUGCCUCGUGAGGGUAGCUCGGAUCACCUUUAGCAUAACUCCGGACCAAUUCGCGGGUCCGUUCAGCGCCGCACCCCCAGAGACCGCCAAUCUGCUAGGGUCAGGACUCUAACCUGGCACCUCGGUCUUAUGCCAUUAACUCCCCGCACAUCCUUGCUACCAACCGGGGUGCGCACUCAAACAGAACUGGGUAUCCGGCUGGAGUUGCACUCGUAGGCUUCGCGGUCGGAACGACUUAUCCGGCCAACAAAGUGUUAGGCAUGCGUUCAAUAUGACAAGAGAACGUACAGCGUAUCGGUCCUUAAACGACAUAGAUGGGGAUAGAUUCACACCCAAGGCCUUCACUAUCGUCAUCGCGCCCGGUCUCCAUUUUUGUUCAGCACAUGGUUAUUUUUCACGAUAGCAAAUAUAGCCAACCGUGAUCAAGUAUCCACCUAUCUCUCGCAGGUGACAGGAAAUCACCCGGCUUCUACCGAGCAAAGCAUGGCUAAGCAUCAAUUCGAUCCUGGACCUACUCAGGUGAGGUAUAAGAUGGACAAGGUAGUCAUUAUGCAGUAAGGUUGUCAUAUCAAUGCCUAACACUUAAUGCAACAAUACAUAACCAUAGUUAAUUGACAGCUGGACACGAUAACAAAAAUAGUGGGAGUCUUAUAAUGCUUCGGGGCUUGCCUUCGAUGUUGGUGGAAGGACGGUGAUCAGGGCACUCCGGUAGAUCCUCCUCCUCCUCAGCUCCUUCUCCUUGAGGUGGCUCCCUCUGCUGCUCCUCUGGCUCGUGUGGUGUGAAUUCCAGAACCGUCACGCCCUUGGGUACACCUAUGUAUGCAUGGCAAGGUGAUAAACAUAGGGAAUGCACAUAUGAUGCAAUAUGUUAUGAUGUGGAGCCAAAGGAACAUAUAACAAGGAGCAAACAUGAUCACAAGUUACUAAUAUUAACUGAAUCACCAAAUAACAAGUAAGUGCAUACUUCUUCUCCGGUAGAGAGGCUAACUAGACAAGCUAACCAACCUUAGCUACUCAUACUCCACAACUGGGGUCAUGGGCAGACUGGGUAGUCAAAAGUUUUAGCUAUAACUUGGUCAUCAUUUGGUCAAACUAAGCAAGUAAGCACUUUCUGGAAAGAUUAACAAAUUAUCUACAAAUCACUUUUAGACAUCAGAGAAAUAUUCUAAACUGAAAUAGGCUAAAACAGACAAAGUCUCAGACCUGCUCUGGAAAAUCCAGAGAACAAGCACUUCGCAGUAGCUAAUUGUAACAGCCACAACUUUUAAACUACUCAGCCAAAUGCUAUCAAAUUUGGAUACAAGGUAGAUAAGUAAAUUAGCUACAAGUUUGUUAUAGACAACUUUUCCAGCAAACUUCAUCUUCAAGCAGUUCUUAAGCAAUUUCUAUCAGCUACCCAGAAUAUGCUCUAGACAAGGCAUAAAUAGCAAAAUAAUAUUUUAGCACAUGUUAAGAAUGUAACUUUGUUCCAACCAAAAGUACCAGUAGCUACAACAUGUCCAAGAAACACCAUAAAACAUCAUGGCAAGGUUUAAACUCAUUUUUAUUAACCCCUUUUCUAUUUAUUUGAUUAUUAAGAUGAAUUAAUGAGCAUGUAGUACAAGUGCUCCAAAAAUUUUCAAGGUUACUGUAAAAUUUUCAUGGCUCUUGCACAUGUAGAUUGUGAUGUACAAAAAUGACAAGCUACCAAUGGCAUUAAAGGCAUAAAUGUGAAACCUUAUCAAAAAGUGUCAAACAACAGAUUUAAGAUUUUUCUUAGCUUUUCUUUCACAUGUUUACAUCUCCUAGCAAUUUUCAUCACAAGAGGAGUCAUAAUUUAUUUAUUAAAAAUACCUCAAGAAACUCCUAUUUAAUCAAGGAAUAUUUAUAACUUCACCACAAGGCAUCCAAAAAUCAUGAGCAAUUUAUCAGAGCCUACACAUAGCAUAAAUAACAAUCUCCUAAAUUUGCAUGGUCAUAGGGCUUACAGAUCUCAAGAUAUAAUUACCUUCUUUUUAUCAAGGAUUAAAUAAUAUCUAUUUAUUUCUGCAAAACAUGGCAUGUUUCAUAUUUUUAUUAAAAACUAGAGCCACUCUAGAGUGUGGCAAAAUUGGAAUCACUCCAUUUGGAUCUGUCAAGCUCAAGUUAUGAUUUUUACAAAAACUACUCAGGAUCUGCAAAACAGUGGACACAGGGGAGAGAGUGAGAGGCUGACGGGUGGGGCCUGCUGACAGAUGGGUCCCACGCGACAGAGAGACAGGGAGCAGAGACGAGCUCGGCCGUCAGAGAUCUCAUCGACGGCGAGGUCUCUGGGGAAACCGAGGGCAUCUACAUGUUCCUCACAUCAAGGCGAACCUGUUGACCUACUUGGCUCACGCUCUACUGAAAUCUAGGGUGCUUGCCGUCGAGAAUGACAGAGCAGCGGCGCUGCGCGGCGAUACGCCGGCGAACUGAGGCCAUGGUGACCCAGUAGAGGUUGCGGACGAGUAAGAGCGAAGCAAGGGGAAGCAGUAGGAAGAAGAAUCACGGCUAGAGGUGAACCAGAGAGGUCUGGCCACAUUGCUGGUGAUCUCUGCGAACUCCGGUGAGGUGAAGUUCGCGACGGAGUUGGCAAUGUGACCACUGUUGGGUAUUCUUAACAUCAUUACCAAAAGUAGACUAAGUUCUCUAAAUCUAGUAACGGUGCCAAAAAUGCCAAACCUAUCCCUCACAACACUUAAGCCAAGUUGUCAUCCCCAGCAUGAUAUAAGAGACGCGGUAUUGAAAUAUGCAAUUGCUCUUCUAAAUAAAUAAUAAAUGGGAUCUGCAAGCGCACAGAUUAAUACCGAUGCAGUAUUUUAACCGAGAAGUAUUCCAGGUAUCGUUAUUUAUAUUUUUACCACUGGGAAGGGAUUAGCAAUCAUCACUAUUGAUUACAGAAUAGAAUAUGAGAUUGAGCAUCUAUCAUUGCAUGUAUAAUUGAGAACAUUUAUCUAUCUCUUCAUACAGGGAUAAGUGUCACAUAAAAGAUAUAUAAAAUAAUAAUAGUGAUAAGGAUAACUAAUCUGAUCUAGCCACAUAAUAAAUAUGAUAAGCACCUCAAUUAGAUACUCUAGAAAGUCAUUAGCAUGGAAUUAGAACGAACUACAAGAAUAUUUCCUAAGUUAUUCUCAACUAUAUAGUCUAGCAUUAUCAUGGUUAGUGUAAGCAUACUUAGCAAUCAUUGUGAGACAAGACUACGCCCAUGCAUAGUGAUAUUAGCCAGGUAAAUGAGAAACAUAGCAAUCACUCCCCUGUAAUAAUAUUGCUCUACCAGCCCAAUAUACGAGAGGGGGACUAUAUAAGAAUCAAUAAAGCUGUCACUAACACGAACCACCCCACGAUCUGGCAUAUUGGGUACAAUCGCAGAUAAAUACGGUAUAAGCACCACGCCUACACAAUAUCUAUCAUUUACCCAUGGAUCCGAUGGAUAAACGCUAUACGAUCCUAAGCAUGUAUAUAGAUCCAAUCUAACUAAGCCAAGUACAUAACUAUGAUAAACUAAGAACAAUAUAAUCUUGAAUAUAAGCAAGUAGAGCAAAGUCAUAAGCAAUAUAUUGAAGUAGAACAAAGUCAUAUUCAUAAUAUUGAAGAACAAAGAUAAUUAGAAGAACAAUUAGAAGCACAAUUAGAGAAUUACCAAGAAUCCUCCUGAAAGAUCCGGAAACCAAUCGAAGAUUGACUCCUUCUAGUUCUAAUCCUAUGUAGCUAUGCUAAUCUAGAUAUCUAAUUGAUGUGGUGGCUCUAAUCUUGAUCAGAGGCAUCUUCUCCCUUGAAGAACAAUGAAUUAGGGUUGAGUCCCUCCUCCAGGGGCCAGGGGGUCUGGUUUUAUAGUCCCUUCAAGUGAAUAUGGGCCGUUGGAUCAAACCGACAUAGAUUGUAUGGUUUAGAUUCAUCCUUUAGGUCGGUGGAGAUCUCCCACGAAGCAGAGUCCUGAUUGGACUCAGGAGGUGGGCGGGCGCCCUGACCAACUGGGCGGGCGCCCAGGGUCAGGCCCCGUUUCGCCUCCGCUUCGGUCUCGUGGCUUCUGGAGUCUUCUAGAUGUAAGAUAAUUGUGCGGCACGUUAAUAUCUCUAUGUAAUCCCGACAUGUGGGCCUUUCUUCCGUAUUUCCUGAUAACCCCCUGCAGAAAUAGACAAACACCAAAACUCAUGGAAUUCUGUCAGAUAAAACCCUAAGUUUGGAUCUUGAUUUCAUUUGGAUCCUUUUUCUUUAUUUAUUUGAUAAUUAAAUUUGAUACUUAAGGACCAUCAACAAACUCCCCCAAGCUUACCUCUUGCUCGUCCCUGAGCAAGGAUAGACUCAGCGAUGGAUCAGAAGUUGUUGCAAUAUUUUAAAAAUUGACGGUACACAUGCUUUUUUAAAUAAGAUCUCAUCUCUGAGUUAGAGUAAACUGUCAAGACUUAAAACUUACUUACUUUACCUUCACCAUGGGACUUGUAACCGUCACUUCUGUCUUGAGUGGUUAAAAGAUAGAACAGUCUAGCCAAGUGCCAUGUCUCUUAUUCUUGAUCAACUAUAGCUCUGGUGUUUUUGCAAAUUUUCAAAUAAAACUUAGAGAUUCCUUGUAUGACUCUCUCAGAUCUCUCUUUUGUGGUAUUUCUGGAUCCUUACCAAGGCAGUGAUGGUAUAUGCCUUCUCUCAAGAUAUGUAGUAUUUAUGGUAUAAAGCAUAGUAACAUAAUCUUCUCUCUCACCCUACUCUAAUAAUGUUUUAAUAUCUGGAGCUCAUAGGUGGGAGAUAAAGUAUACAUACUUACAAGACAUUUAUUGCAUAGUCAAACCAUGGAUCCAAAAAAAACAAGUCAAUAAGCCAAAUCAAGAUGUGCAUGUGUGGCGAAUGAAUGGUGUAUGGUGAUAAUGGUGAUAACAAUGGUGGAAACAAUGGUGGUGGAAGUCUAAUUCUACUUUGCUCUUUGAGGGGAUACAUACCUUCCUUGCUUUUUGAAACUUUAUGAGGAGAAUGAGAUGCUCUUCUUUUUCUUUUCUCUCAGGUGGGUAUCUUGUACCCCUAAUUCUACUAUCGGACACUUGUCCAUUUUUACCUCUAGUCUCACUUUUUCUUUCUUCCGAGGUUCCGAGCACUUGCUCCUUUUUAUUUCCUCGUAUUUAUUAUUAUGUUUUUUUAAGCACUCAUCUCUUGAGAUAAUAUAGCAAGUGGUAGUAACAAGAUAACUUGAGCAUUUAUUUCACAAGGAAAAAACAGGAAUAUUUUUGGUUAUUCUCUCCCAAAUUAGGAGUAGAAUAUUUUUGGGUGAUUCUGGAGAUGGAAAUGGAUGGAUAUAUGUGGAUGGUACUUCCGGAGGAGAAGUAGCAUAUAUGAGUGAACGUGCAAGUGAAAUCUUGAUUUAACCACAUGACAAGCUCCUAAGGGUCUACACAGCUUGACCACACUCAAUGCUCAUAAGUAGUAAAUAUUAAAUGUGUGGCUCAAAGUCUAGUAAGCAUGUAUAUAUGGCUGUGGUAGGAAUUUAAACUCUCAUCAUACAGGAACUCAUCAUGCAACAUUUAAAGAUUUUCAAAGACAAAAUUCUCCACAAUUCUAGCAUCUCUAGGAACAGAUAAACAGCAGCUCAACCUUCCCAUAUCGUAUCCAUUAACAACUUAGACUUCAGAUCAAGUUUUCAUCCCACAAGUUUAGGUCUAGAGCAAGCUUUAAAUUAUAACAGUUAUGUCUAAACUUGAGAGAGAACUUAAAAUAUGCAAAUUAGGCAGAGCAACUAUUCAUCAUAUCCAUGCUUAAGUUUUAUUUAGAUACAGAUUAGCAUAGCCACUUUAUUUAUUUAUUAAACACACUAAGCAAAAGACAUAUAUAUAUAUAUAUAAGCACAAACUCUUUAUUUGGUUUUCCAUAGUUUAUGUGUAUUUAUAUUCUAAAAUAAUAUAAGUAUAAAGAUAGACAGAUAGAAAUACUUAUCGAGAUAAAUGGGGGUGCUCUCCCCCAAGCUGAAUUUUGACGUAAUUUCUCUUGAUGUAGCUAGCAGGUGGCAGAGGUGUAUUUGAAAGUCAGCAGCAUUCUGACAGCGAUUAGAAUGUCCUCCGUCUGCCAGUCUUCUUGAUUCUUAAAUUCUGUGGAGUUCAAAUAGACAACAAAGCUUGUGGAACUGGUUAAGUGUUAGCAUAAAUAUCUAGCCUUUAUCAUGUUGAGACUCCUUAAUAAAUAUUACUCCCUGUUUUUAUAUUUUUAUUUUUAUAGAGCAGAAAAAUAAUUAUUUUAUUUUUAUGCCACCACAGUGAAUGUACUUAUGGGUUUUAUGCCACUCGUAUACUCACAUGGGGCUUACUGUUUUUCGCAUUUUUUUUUCUUUUUAGGAUAGCACGAACUUAAUUAACUAAGUAAACUAUUUAAAGUAAUUGAAAGGGAAAGGAUAACUACCAAGUUUACCUCUUGGCAAGGCGUUCGGUGUUUUUAAGUCCUCCGAACGGGACUCUCAAUUUUUUUCUUAAUCGUCCUGAGGUUCGUUGGGUGGCGUAGUCGGUACUUCCGGCAGCGCCUCCUCUUCAUGUAUAGUUAUCUUCAUUUUCCAUACCUGACUUGGUGCUUCCGUCUCCUCUGGAUAAUUCUGUUUAAACUCUACGUCUUCUGACCUUACAACUUCUCCUUCAUAGGCUGCCCAUCCGUCCUUGAUGAUCUGCCUCCUCUGGUUGCGGUUGCGUCGCUUUCUUACCUGCUUAGAUUAUUCAACGAUAUAGUUAGGGUCAGUAAAAUAACGGCGUACCUUCUCUGAGGGGAAGUGCAUAUGGACUUCUCUGGUUCCAAUGUAGAUAGUUGCUUUAACGGUGCUGAGGAACGGUCUUCCAAGGAUGAUGGGUGGAUCGUACUCAUCUUCUCCCAUGUCAAUAACUUGAAAGUCUGUGUAGACAAAGUGAUCGUCUAUUUUGACUGGGACAUCAGAUACUAUUCCUUUAACUUCUCGAAAUGUCUGAUCUGCCAUCUGGAGCUGAAUGUAUGUUGGUCUUAGUGGCAUGGUUCCGAACAAGAGCCGAUAGGUGACUGCGGCCAUUAUGUUGACGCCCGAUCCGGUGUCACAAGUUGCCUUGUAGAAGUUGUAUCCAUUUAUGGAGCAGUAGAUGCUUGGCAUUCCUAGGUCGUCCUUCUUAGUCAAAAGCGGUGACUUAAGUUGGUGAUCUUGUCCUCCAUAGACUACAGUGACCAUCUUAGCUGACUCGGUCCACACUUGCUUGUUCCUGUUCCUCCUGUUGGUCCUGUUCCUUGAUUCUCGUCUGGAUUGAUUUGGAAUUUGUGUAAUCUUGUUCUUGAAGAAAAAUGUCUCCUUCCUCCCUUUGACGGAGAAACUGAUCUUAGCAGCACUAGCGUAGAUGAUAGCUCCCGUGGUGUUCAAGAAUGGCCUCCCUAAGAUGAUGGGUGCUCUCUCAUCAUUUCCGGUCUCUACCACUACGAAGUCUGCUGGGGCAUACAAGGUACCAACUCGGACACAAAGGUUCUUCACUAUUCCUUUUGGAAAAGUUAUCGUCUAAUCUGCAAACUGCAAACACAUGGUUGUCUCUAAUAAAGGAUAUGUAAAGAAUUUUUCAUAGAGUACCGUGGGUAUAAUGUUGACACUAGAGCCAAAGUCGCAGAGUGCUUCUGGAACGUCCACCA